CAUGAAAUAACAAGUUCUUCGAAAUGCGGUGGUGUUAUAAAUGUAUCAACGAUCACACCAAAAAUAUUAUGCCGGGAUUCAGAAUGCUUGCCUUCAAUGUGUGGAAAGGCAGGGUGCACUCCAAAACUUGAAACAUUUCUCCUCUCUUCAAAAAUGCUAUUUUAGCAAUAUAAAGAAUUAACACACAAAAUAAAAACAGCACCAAAAGUUGUUCUGAAAUUUUUUCAAAUAAAUCUUAAAAUAAACUAGGUGAAAUUUGAGAGAGGUAGGAAAAAGAAUCAGUUCAUUUGGACUUAUAUUUAAAAAGAUAGAGCCAGUCAGAGAUUUGGUCAAAUCUGAUUUUAAAUAAAACAGAAAAAGAAAAACGUUUCAGAUAGAAAUACGCUUUCGGUCAUAGGAGGCGUACUUGAGGUUUUACGUAUCCACUUAAAACAUGUGGACCGGUGCGGGGGUCACUGACUGUGGGUCCAGGGGGCCCACUGGUCAGGUUUGACUAGUCUUCUCCCUCCUCUUCCUCUGUCCCGAGCCGAGGCGGGGCCUCCGGCGAUCGUCGCCGGCGAACGGCGUUUCUUUGCGGGCAUCUGAGCGCAGGGAUGGAUCCGCCACUCCUAGGUGGUCCUUCCGGUGGUCGCAGGGUCGCCGGGGGUGGAGGGAGUCGCCGGCGGCGAGCUCCGUGGCGGAGGGGGCUUCGGUGACAAAGUGAUUUGGUGGCGGCGAUGGCUCCCGAUGAAAAUCAAGUAGGGGGUUGGGUUCCUGGAAGGAAGGAGGGGUUCUUGGUGAAGAGAACGGGGAGGGGGAAGCCCUGGUGGCGCCGCAGUGAAUGAGACAGUGGCGGCGGCAAGAGUUGCCGGAGAUGAAGAAGGCGGCGUUUCCCUGAUGAUUGCGGGCUAUGGGGGUUCCAUGGGGGUAGCUCGGGGUCCCUUUUAUAGCGCGACAAGGUCGGUUCCGCGGCUGUGGAUAAGGCGGCCGGCGAACCGCCGUUCUGUAGCUGCAGGGGAACGUGGCGGCGACGAGAGCUAGGCAACACCCUUGUGGAUGAGCUUGAGAUGUUCAAGGGGCCAGGUGGCGAGCCGGGGUGGCUUGGGCGGCGCUGAACGGCGCAGGGCUGUCGGCCGACGCCGGCGUGCCGCAAAAGUGCUCUGGCGGUGGCGCUGUAGGGCGCCAGGGCGGGCUGUUGUGUUGUGGCGAGGCGGGGAGUGUGUGGCGAGGUUCUGCAGUGUGGGCCAAGACAGGGGCACGACGCGGCGGCUCGUGUGCGCGGCUGCAAUUUGCGCGCUCUGGGCGCGCCCGGCGCACGCACACCAGAUGCUCGACGAAAUGCCAUGGCACUCCAGAGCGCUUGGUUGGAGCUGGGAGUUAGCAGGUCUAGGCUAUGGCUUGCAAGGAGAUCAAUGGACAAGCUUAAGGGGUCAGAGGAUCAGGUUCACACUGCUAACUAAAAUCCAUGCCAAAUCUGACCAUGCACUCCAGGUGUUUGACAAAAUGCCACAGGCACUUAGGCAAGUCUUGGAGUGGUCAAAAACUCCAGAUCAGUGUCUCCUUAGAUGCAAGAGAGAGUGGUGAGGUUAUUUGGACAAAAGGGGAAACUUGCUAGUGCAAGUUUUGCAAAACUACAUUUCUGGACAGGAAAUAAAUGACAUUAUUUCAUGAACCAAAAUUAAUCCAAUGGGUGCAUGCUCCUGGAUUUAGGGGUUUGGUAGGGCUGUCUACAAGUAGGAGAAAACACAAGAUCUUUGGAGAAAAAUUAAAUAGGGUUGCAGUAGAAAUCACAAGGCUGGACCAGAAUGAAAAAGAGGUUGAUUGACUCAAAAUUUUCAAAGAACAGCACUAGGUUUUUGCAUAAUGAUGAAUCAUAUGCUACUACCAAUAUCCCAUAAUUUUGGUGGAGGCUAGAAAGAAUUAUUUAAAAGGGUUGUAGUGCAAAUUGCACUCUGGACAGAGAAGGAAAAAUUGAUGCAGAGCUCAAAUUAUUACAUAAAUAAAAGAUAUUUUUGCACAAAUGUUAUUGAAUAACAUCACAUGACAUCUCCAAAUUUUGUGGGAAUUUUAAGUGAAUUUAUCCAAUGGUUGUAGUUCAAAUAUGGCCAUAUAAUCCUUGAAAAACCAUUUUUAAGAAAGUAAAGAUCAAGCAACUUAAUUAUUUAAUUUGUUAUAUUAAAUAAGGGAAAGUUUCUCUUGACAGAUUAAAUAAGUCCAAUGACAUAUUUGGAAAGUUUUCUCUUUGGGAAAAACUCAUCAUAACAGGGAAGGAAAUGAUUUAAAAAUCAAAAUGGAGCUCAGAAAUCCAAAGUUUUAAUUCCUGGCAAAAAUUUUAAUUCAUUAAAACAAGGCCAAAUUUUUGGGGUGUCACAACACUAUCCCCCUUAAAAAAAAUCUCAUCCUCGAGAUUUGUUAAAAGCUGUGUUAAGAAAAUAUUACGCAAUAAAGAUGUGGCUUUAGUGAGAGGGCAAUAAGUGGUGAAAAAAUCAUAGUGUGAAAACUGGUGCUGCAUGGAAAAGUCUACGGUUCGGGACAAAAACGUGAGAUUUCUACGCUGGAUAUAAAUUUAGAAUAACUUCUAAAUUUAAAAAAAUACGCUGGUCGUACCCGAGAGCACAGUUGUCUCUCUGGCCGACAGGUGGACCCGGGGUCCACUGUCAGCCUCUCCUUCUCCCUCUGGCUCUUUCUUCUUCCUCUCUCCCGCGUGCUUUCUCCACCGGCGACGCCUAGUGUGUAGGGCAUCUAGGCUGUACCGUGGUAGUGCGCGGCGUGCUAGCUGCUGGUGCAGCGUGCACUCACCUCGCGGGCCAGCGCGCUGUCGGCACUGCUCGCGGAUUCGACUCCGAACACCGGCGAUCGGCGACGAGCGGCGUUGGUGGACUUCGCCCACCGUACACCGAGCUCGAGCUAUAAAAUGGCCGGUGUGCCUCUCUCUUCUUCCUCACACCUGGCCUCACUUCUCCUCCUCCUCCCUCCAUUACUGCUUACAAAAGCUCGGGUUAGGCUCUAAUGGCGGAGGCGAUGCCGGACUGGUUUGCGAUCCUGAUAUGCGGAGGGUUGGCGACACUGCUGGGGCUCUCUGUGCUCCUGUGUGCGAUGAUCCUCGACGAUCGUCACGACACUGCUGCUCGGGUGUUGGCUCUCCGCGGUGGUGGUGAUCACGAGGAGUAGAUGGGGUGUGCCGGGUGCUAACUGUUGUUAGGGGGGUGAUGAGCUGGAUGUAACACCGUUGCAAAGUUUUGCAAACAGUGUAUGUGUUCGAAUGGUAAUGGUUGUGAGUCUGCUGCCUGGUGCAGUGUGAAGUUAAUAAAUCCACGCCAAGAGAAAGUGUAGAUGUAGCAACUCAGGGAAAAGAAAUCUCACUCAGAAUUUUUGCGAGGAAAAAUAGUUAAUUUAAAGGAGUAUAAACCACAACAAAAACUACAUUAGUAGAAGCCAAAUAUUUGACUCGUCGUACAAACUCAGGAUAUCACGCAUAGGUCACACACAUAAAUAAAUGUUGCAAAUAAUGAACACUGCAGCGACGUCUAAAAUGGAAACGGUAACUGGACGGGGUCCUGAUAAAAUGUCUCUGGUACUGGGAUACACUCCUCUUCUAUCGGAGGCAGUGGAUUGACCAGUCGAUGUAUGCGUCUCUCCGGGUCGGGUCUUAGUGAUCUGCCGAUGGCAAUCUGAGGACUUAAAUCUGCGAGGCUCUUUGUGAUAAUCCAUCACUCGCUGGUUCAAAUGCUCUUGAGCAAUGAUGUACUGGAUAAGGUUGGCUAGCACUGGGUCUCUCUCAAUGCGUCCACCGGGAAAAGAUGUUACUUCUCCGGGUGUUGCACGGCUCGGAAAGUAAUAAUAUCCUCGUUCGCGGGCAUAGGGUACAGCGGAUCGAAGGCGAGCAAUCGCUUCUUUCGCAGCAGCUUCUAUGGCCAAGUGUGGGGUUGGCAUAGAUUUCCCCAUGAAGGAAACUUCCGUUGGAUCUUGGUUGGGGUCUAUAGGAGGAAUGUGUACUGCUGCCCAAUAUUCCGAGGUGGAUGGUGUGAUCCUUGAUUUGAAUAGCUCGUACUGAGGUAGCUGGGUAGAACCCAUGGUACUGCGGGUAAAGUCCCACAAUAUUUUGACAAAGCUACAUGGGGUUGCAUCUGGGGUUCUCAGGUGAAUGCUGGGGCUCGGCAUGACCGGAAAAAGUUGUGAGUGUGGUGCACAAGGUGAGGGUUGCUGGGUAAGGUCACAAGGUGGCCUUUAUAUAGCAAUGGAGCCAGAUCAUUUUACCGUGGUGAAGGUAAUAAAUUUGCCAGCUUAGCUCCAAAGGUCAGGUCAGUGUCAGAGAUACACAUAUCUCAUAAAGAGACGUGUUACUGUGGUUGUCGUCGGGUUGGUUUUGGUAGUUGUGCCAAGAAAAAUAUGCAACUAUGCGCUGACCAAAUAUGCAAGGCUAUUAUUAAAACAGAUGCACAACGACAGGCUGCGUUAAUAUACACGGUCGCAUGACUACAAAGUGAGGAUACACUGAGACUCGGUACUACUCGUACGGCUUAGUCUACCUCGUUUAUGUCUAAACGGGCGUGCCUGGUGGAUGUCGAGGCUUCUCCAUGUGUCUCACUUCCGGGAUUAGUCAGAGAUGGCGGAGGAACUGCAGGGUCGGGGUAGUGAUGAUGACCAUCGCGGGGAUUGUUGGCCACAACCCCGUUGGAGUGUGCUCCCAAAAGGCGACGAAGCCCUUCUGGGGUCAUCAAAGCAUCUCGGCUGAUGGCUGGAGCUGGUCUCGUGGUCUCGAUCGGUUGUCCGAACAACACGACUGGGUUGUCGGCAUCGGGCUCGUCUUCUCUUCUAGCUGGGGUUCGACGAACUAGCUCUCCAUGAACUGCGAUCAGAUCAAUGGUGAUCUGGUCGAAUAGUGCCUCUAGUGCACUUACAUAGCGCAAUAGGUGCAACAAUGCGGGGUCCGUCUCGUGAUCUCCGUUGGCAACUUGGGGUGGUCUACCAUACCCUUCACGUCUGGGGUAGUAGUGGAACGAGCGACAGUUAACUCUGGGAGACAAGUGCCUGAGAUGAACUAUAGCUUCUCGAGCGGCUAGCUGGAUGGCUUGUGGCUCGAAGGAAGUUGUUCUUCCGGUGAACCUGUAGGGGCGCUCGGGUGACAGUCCCCUACCGUAGAUGUGCACAGUGGCCCAAAAUUGACGGUCUUCACCGCUUAUGGGUCCUUGGUACACAACAAAUUCUGGUGGCUCUUCUAACGCAUAGGCACGACGGGUGAGGUUUGCGAGUAUGGUCACAAAACCUCCAAGGUUGGUUGUUGUGGUUUCAUUGUGCACGACAGGGCCAUGCAUUGUAGCUUGGUUUGGGGGUAGAGGCUGUGUUGUGCUGUGUUGGGGCCAGCGUGCCCCUCUUUAUAGGAAAAAGGGGACGGAGUCUUCCUUCGCACGCUUGCGAGAAAGGACUAUUUAGGGGCCGGUCACUGGCGCAUGAGCGACAGGUUAGGUUGAUAGGUUGGGCACCGACUGCCAAAAGGUGUUGGGUCACUUUGUGGCUAUCUUGCACGAGAAGUUUGGCUGGGGUUUGGUUAUGGUCUGGUGGGUUGGUUUGCCUAAAUUUAUUGACCUGGCUAAGAUAGGAUUAGCCAAUGGUCAGCCUGGCUCUGAUACCAAGUCUGUCACAACCGGUUUUCCGGGUAAUAAAUUUCCAGAAAAGACUGUCGUGCUCAUCAGCCCCAGGAUUACUGUUAGCUGAUGAGGCUCCAACUUGAUACAGAAAUUCCAAGCAGAAAACAAAAUAUGUAGUACAAGGCCAUUCUGGCCUGUGAGUACAACAAAUGGUUUCUAGUGGUUGAUGGCGGAAGCGGGUUGUGAAACAUCAGUGUCUAUGGGACUCCAUUUCCCACGGGAACAGCUGACCAGGUUAACUCGUAUAUUCGCGAGGCUGCUAUCUCCAUUACUUAGGUUCCGGGGCUGUCAUCGCGUCGCUCCUCUUCGUGCAAGAAAAUCUGGCCAAGACAAUAGCCAGGGACAAGCCAGUGAGUACUUUGAAUGUACUCGCAAACAUUAUGAACACAGGUAUAAUAUAACAAUGAUGUGCUGAAAAUAUUUUAUGCUCAUGACGUCAGUCAAAAAUAGUAAAUAAAAGUCUGAUGCGUGCAGGCGGUUAUUUAUAAAAAUGCAAUAACAUAGCAGUAUUAAAAUUAAUGAAAUAAAUAACAAGCAAUGCCACCGCCGGGCGUCUUAGCGACACCACAUAAAGGGCUUUAAAAGAAAUGCCACAGUCGGGCGUCUGAGCGACACCACAUAAAGGGCUUUAAAAGAAAUGCCACAGUCGGGCGUCUGAGCGACACCACAUAAAGGGCUUUAAAAGAAAUGCCACAGUCGGGCGUCUGAGCGACACCACAUAAAGGGAUUUUAAAAUAAACAAUCAUAGUGAAUAUCCCGGAGGUAGAACCAUCCCAGAGAUUACUCGAUAAUAACAAUAAUAUCACGGGUUAGUCAACAAUAAUAAUAAUCAUAGUUAUCACAAGUCACAAGUAGUAAUUCCAUUUCUGGUUAACAGUUUCACCUCCGAAGACCGACACUAAGACCGACACCUGACCCAUCCCAGAUUGUAAUCCUUAACCGUGGACACGGCUAUUCGAAUAGGUUUAUUCUCUGCAGAGGGUGUACUCUUUACCCACGAGUAACGGAUUUCUUUAGUCCAUCGGGACUAAUUCCGUCUACGGUCUUUUUGUUGAAAACACACUUAACUUGCACACACCAGCUUAUCUCACACGUGUCUGGAAUCACCCACGACACCGGUUAAGCAAACUCUAAGUGGGGGAGGCUACAACCUCGCGUAGCAUGGGAUCAAAUUUAUAUCGCGCGCUCUAAGGGGUGGCCUCCCCUCUCGGUCCCAACCGGAAACACCCAUGCCCCCGGACCAGGUGGCCUGCCUACCAGCUACAACCGGUAUCUUCCACCAUGGCCUCUCUGUACGGUGUGUGCUAGAAAGAGGUUGACAACUUACUGAACCGUACUCUACUUGCUGUAGAGACGAGUGGUAGUACGAAACAAGUAUGGGGGUUACUGGCACAAGACUCGAUCUACGGUCGACUCAGGAGGUUUAAGUAUUCCCUGCAUGAUUAGCAUGAUGAAUAUAUUUCAACCAACAGAGUCACCGCUCAUAUCACCUUGCCAUGCCAUACCAGACAUAACUGUCCCGACGGAGACCGGCGACAAACUCAUGCCUACCCAAGGCAGAGGUUUUCCCGGGUUCCUGCCGGUAUGCAUGCAAGGCACAUGAGGGUGAUUAUCAUCACAAGUGUGUCCAUUUCCAACAGCAUGGAAAUCAAUAACAUGCACCCAUGCAUAUGAUCAUAUCACAUGAAAUAACAAGUUCUUCGAAAUGCGGUGGUGUUAUAAAUGUAUCAACGAUCACACCAAAAAUAUUAUGCCGGGAUUCAGAAUGCUUGCCUUCAAUGUGUGGAAAGGCAGGGUGCACUCCAAAACUUGAAACAUUUCUCCUCUCUUCAAAAAUGCUAUUUUAGCAAUAUAAAAGAAUUAACACACAAAAUAAAAACAGCACCAAAAGUUGUUCUGAAAUUUUUUCAAAUAAAUCUUAAAAUAAACUAGGUGAAAUUUGAGAGAGGUAGGAAAAAGAAUCAGUUCAUUUGGACUUAUAUUUAAAAAGAUAGAGCCAGUCAAAGAUUUGGUCAAAUCUGAUUUUAAAUAAAACAGAAAAAGAAAAACGUUUCAGAUAGAAAUAUGCUUUCGGUCAUAGGAGGCGUACUUGAGGUUUUACGCCACCACAUAAAACAUGUGGACCGGUGCGGGGGUCACUGACAGUGGGUCCAGGGGGCCCACUGGUCAGGUUUGACUAGUCUUCUCCCUCCUCUUCCUCUGUCCCGAGCCGAGGCGGGGCGUCCAGCGAUCGUCGCCGGCGAACGGCGUUUCUUCGCGGGCAUCUGAGCGCAGGGAUGGAUCCGCCACUCCUAGGCGGUCCUUCCGGUGGUCGCAGGGUCGCCGGGGGUGGAGGGAGUCGCCGGCGGCGAGCUCCGUGGCGGAGGGGGCUUCGGUGACAAAGUGAUUUGGUGGCGGCGAUGGCUCCCGAUCAAAAUCAAGUAGGGGGUUGGGUUCCUGGAAGGAAGGAGGGGUUCUUGGUGAAGAGAACGGGGAGGGGGAAGCCCUGGUGGCGCCGGAGUGAACGAGACAGUGGCGGCGGCAGGAGUUGCCGGAGAUGAAGAAGGCGGCGUUUCCCUGACGAUUGCGGGCUAUGGGGGUUCCAUGGGGGUAGCUUGAGGUUGCGUGCGUGCUCAGAGGGGCUCGGGGUCCCUUUUAUAGCGCGACGAGGUCGGUUCCGCGGCGGUGGAUAAGGCGGCCGGCUCACCGCCAUUCUGUAGCUGCAGGGGAACAUGGCGGUGACGAGAGCUAGGCGACACCCUUGUGGAUGAGCUUGAGCUGUUCAAGGGGCCAGGUGGCGAGCCGGGGUGGCUUGGGCGGCGCUGAACGGCGCAGGGCUGUCGGCCGACGCCGGCGUGCCGCCAAAAGUGCUCUGGCGGUGGCGCUGUAGGGCGCCAGGGCGGGCUGUCGUGUUGUGGCGAGGCGGGGAGUGCGUGGCAAGGUUUUGCAGUGUGGGCCAAGACAGGGGCGCGACGCGGCGGCUCGUGUGCGCGGCUGCAAUUUGCGCGCUCUGGGCGCGCCCAGCGCACGCGCACCAGAUGCUCGGCGAAAUGCCAUGGCACUCCAGAGCGCUUGGUUGGAGCUGGGAGUUAGCAGGUCUAGGCUAUGGCUUGCAAGGAGAUCAAUGGACAAGCUUAAGGGGUCAGAGGAUCAGGUUCACACUGCUAACUAAAAUCCAUGCCAAAUCUGACCAUGCACUCCAGGUGUUUGACAAAAUGCCACAGGCACUUAGGCAAGUCUUGGAGUGGUCAAAAACUCAAGAUCAGUGUCUCCUUAGAUGCAAGAGAGAGUGGUGAGGUUAUUUGGACAAAAGGGGAAACUUGCUAGUGCAAGUUUUGCAAAACUACAUUUCUGGACAGGAAAUAAAUGACAUUAUUUCAUGAACCAAAAUUAAUCCAAUGGGUGCAUGCUCCUGGAUUUAGGGGUUUGGUAGGGCUGUCUACAAGUAGGAGAAAACACAAGAUCUUUGGAGCAAAAUUAAAUAGGGUUGCAGUAGAAAUCACAAGGCUGGACCAGAAUGAAAAAGAGGUUGAUUGACUCAAAAUUUUCAAAGAACAGCACUAGGUUUUUGCAUAAUGAUGAAUCAUAUGCUACUACCAAUAUCCCAUAAUUUUAGUGGAGGCUAGAAAGAAUUAUUUAAAAGGGUUGUAGUGCAAAUUGCACUCUGGAUAGAGAAGGAAAAAUUGAUGCAGAGCUCAAAUUAUUACAUAAAUAAAAGAUAUUUUUGCACAAAUGUUAUUGAAUAACAUCACAUGACAUCUCCAAAUUUUGUGGGAAUUUUAAGUAAAUUUAUCCAAUGGUUGUAGUUCAAAUAUGGCCAUAUAAUCCUUGAAAAACCAUUUUUAAGAAAGUAAAGAUCAAGCAACUUAAUUAUUUAAUUAGUUAUAUUAAAUAAGGGAAAGUUUCUCUUGGCAGAUUAAAUAAGUCCAAUGACAUAUUUGGAAAGUUUUCUCUUUGGGAAAAACUCAUCAUAACAGGGAAGGAAAUGAUUUAAAAAUCAAAAUGGAGCUCAGAAAUCCUAAGUUUUAAUUCUUGGCAAAAAUUUUAAUUCAUUAAAACAAGGCCAAAUUUUUGGGGUGUCACAUUAAGGUAUGUUUUAUGAGGUUUGGGAGAGUGUCAUGGUAUAGAUAGCAGCCCCUGAUACACUGUUCAGUGAAAGAAAGAACCGGACAGAGGAUCAAAUUUAUGCUCGCAGGAGACUCACUUGAUGACAUAUAUAACUCUUUUUAAUCAGCAGGCGUCUAUAGUGACUGCCGCCUCUCAUGCUGCGGAAGUAUCUGGAUGGAGGUAUAGUCUCGAGCGGGCUGAAGGAGAACUUGGCCAAGUGAAGAGACAACAGGAGGAUAAUCAAGGUAUGCAGAAACCUUGUUUAUUUAGCACAAAUGAAUAAGUGUGCACGAUGAAUUUUUUUUGUACUGUGCUCUAGGGGUGACGGCCGAAAUUGAGGCUCUUAGAAAGGCUAUAGCCGAAGACGAGAAGAAGGCAGCCGCAGAGCAGGCUCUUCGUGAGAAGCACGAGGCCAGAGUUAUUGAGGCUGAGCGAGAGCUUCAAGAGGCCGUGCAGAAAUGCGAGACCUUGGAGCAGAGUUUAGCAGGGAAAGAAUACGAACUCUCCGAGGAUCGCCAAGACGCAAGUGAUGCCCGGGGGGAAUCCCAAGGUGCCCUAAAGGAAAUCCAAGAGGCGAGGAAGAUUGCGGCUAGUAAGGCAUUUUCUGUACAUAGCGGGUAUUUGAAAGGAGAAAAUCAAGUUGAGAGUUUAAAUUUUGAUUUCUCCAAGGGUAUUUGCAGAGCUGCCAUGCAGCAUAUCUGAUGCCGCCCAAUUCUACUGAGCCGAAGAGAGGAAUACUGUGGAUAAGCUCUUCUGGAUGCAGUAUCUAGCGCCGAAUUAUCCGGUGCCGUUUUCCAAUCACCUGAAGCAGCUGGUCGAACUGCAUAAGGCGGCCGAGCUAGCCAUGAAGGAUUUGAUUAUCCGGCUGUGGCCUGCCGAGCCGAUUCCAAGCAAUUACUUUGGGCUCGUGAAGCAGAUUGUGAGUGCCUGCCCUCAACUUGAAGUCAUUAAGCAAUUGGUCUGCAUAGAAGGUGCACGAAUGGCCUUUGCCCGUGCAAAGGUGCAUUGUGGGAAGAUGGAUGCGAAAAAGCUGAUGAUCGAGGGACCGCCGGAGGGAAAGGAGCACCGCAAGCCCGAGUUGUAUUAUGAAGGUGUCUUGAAAGGGGCCCGCCUUGCGGCGGAGCAAUGCAUCAAGGACAUUAUAUUUCCAUGAAUGGAGUCAUGUUUGUCCUUUGUAAUAUUUGAACAAGAUCAUUUCUAUCAUUUAUUGCUUGUCAUUUGAAAGAUUUUCCUCCUGUGCGGCUGUUUUAUAUACUAAUCCGGAGAGUUGGCCAGUCGUCGGCUUCUGCCCCCAUGUAGUAAGUACGGGGGUGGUCGGGAUAAACCUGAACACUCUUUAUCCCAGUUUUGGGUCCUUGAAGGAGGUGUUCAGCACAACAAACUAGGCAAUCAGACUAUAGGGCUUUAUCACUCUCACUUAGCCAUAGGAUCUUUUAAAAGGAAGGUAGGCGCAGCCCCUGGUGUUCGGAAGACCGCACGAGGGGCUUUAUCGGCGCCUGAUCAGAAAAAAGCCGAUCCCUCACAUGCUGCAUUGGUUAUGGCAUUGUGCGGAAGAAAUCCUUAAAGAUUUUACAACCUCUCGAACAGCUGACCAGCUCUCGCUGCAUCAUGAUAGUUAGUUUUCGGCUUUCUCUACUGAGGAGCUCGUCCGGGAGAACCGGGACACAAUCGCAGUAGUUCUCCCUGUGCUACCUUAGCCGAUAUAGCGGAACGUAAGGUACCAAAACAUAGGAGCUAGGCAAACCCAACUAUUGACCCAAGACAUGAUUCGGAGUUGAUGCAUAUAAUGCUAUAAGUUCGGGGUGCCAAACUACCGCGAAGGUGUUCGGACUUUAUUGCCAUAUUAUGGGUAUAAAGAAGCCCCUGGCAUAUUGAGGCGUAACGUGGAAUUCCGCUGCCUUCUUACAAAAGAAUUUUAAUAAGAAAAAGGAGCAUCAUAUAAAUUCACAUGUUGUAUUUGAAUAAUACGUCAAUGCGUAUGAGUAUAGGUAAUGUGAUAAAAAGAAAUAUGACUGCGAAACCUGCUGAGGCCAAGCGGGAUGAAGGUGUACGCGGAUCCGGGGAGUGGUCGAAUAAUCGUAGAGGGGAAUACCUGAAGAUUCCCUUACGCGCUCGAACUGUCUUCACGCCGUGCGUCCUAGCCUACGCAGAGGUGAACCUGCAAAGGAAAUGCAAGAAAUGGUUUCGUGCCACUGAGCGGUUGAGCCGCUGUAUGUGGCUUGUCUUAACUUUUUGCCGGAAGUGUUUUACUUAAGCUCCGGCGAGCCGGGCUAUCUUGUCGUGUAGUAGUUCAGACUCUGUUGGUGGUGUCCGGGAGCUGGGCCUUGCCAUUAACCGUAAUGACGCAGCGCGGACCGGGCAUCUUGAGUUUACGGUAGGCGUAAUAUGGCACCGCAUUGAACUGAGCGAACGCGGUUCGUCUAAGCAGUGCCUGAUAGUCACUGUGAAAGGGGACGAUGUCGAAGACUAACUCUUUGGUAUGGUAGUUGUUCGGAGAUCCGAAGACCACUUUCAGUGUGAUCGAGCCCGUGCGACGGGCCUCUACACCUGGUAUUACACCCUUGAGGGUGGUUUUUGUGGGUUUCAUCCUUGAGGGGUCGAUGCCCAUUUUGCGGACUGUAUCUUUAUAGAGUAGGUUCAAGCUGCUGCCACCGUCCAUGAGGACUCGUGUGAGGUGGAAUCCAUCAAUGAUGGGGUCGAGGACCAAUGCAGUCGAACUGCCGUGACGGAUACUGGUGGGAUGGUCCCAGCGAUCAAAAGUGAUUGGACGAGAGGACCAUAUACUGAGCUUCGAGGCGACUGGAUCUAUUGCGCAGACUUCCCCUGGUUCACGCUUCUGCUUGGGAAUAUGGGUUGCGUAUAUUGUAUUCACCGUUUUCACAUAGGGAGGGAAUUUUUUCUGUCCUCCUGUGUUCAGUGAUUGGGGCUCUUCGUCGUCGUCGUCACUUUGGGACCCGUUCCCCUUGUUUGCAGCAUCUGACCUGUCGGCUUGUCUGAAGACCCAUCAUUCUCUGUUGGUAUAAUUGGCUAGUGUUCCUGGGGUGCCAUGAAUUUGGCAUGGACGGUCGAGUAUGCAGUACAGACUGGACGGGCCUGCAUUGUUUUUGUUGAAUGGCUUUUUCCGCUGACCGAACUUGGGGCCACUGAAUCCGGCAUUGACUGUCGUGUCUUCGGCGCUAUCACCAUUUUUAUGAUGCUUGUGUUUGUUGCGUCGUGGUUUGUCGUUGCUAUCCCUAGUUUUUGAUGUGCCAGUCCUGCUUGCUGUGUUGUUGCUACGAGCCAACUAGCUAUCCUCGCCCGCACAAAAGCGGGUCAUGAGUGUCGUGAGGGCUGCCAUGGACUUUGGCUUUUCUUGGCCGAGAUGUCGGGCAAGCCACUCGUCGCGGAUAUUAUGCUUAAAGGCCGCUAGGGCUUCGGCAUCCGGAUAGUCGACAAUUUGGUUGUUUUUAGUUAGGAACCGGGUCCAAAAUUUCCUGGCUGACUCUCCGGGCUGUUGGGUUAUGUGACUUAGGUCAUCAGCAUCCGGUGGUCGCACAUACAUGCUCUAGAAGUUGUCCAGGAAUGCGCCUGCCAGGCUCUCCCAACUCCCGAUGGAGCUUGCCGGCAAGCUAUUUUGCCAAUGCCGAGCUGGUCCAUUGAGUUUUAGUGGGAGGUACUUGAUAGCGUGUAGAUCAUCUCCACGGGCCAUGUGAAUAUGGAGGAAGAAAUCUUCUAUCCAUACCGCGGGGUCUGUAGUACCAGCGUAUGAUUCAAUGUUCACGGGUUUAAACCCUUCUAGGAAUUCAUGAUCCAUUACUUCAUCAGUGAAGCACUAGGGGUGUGUGGCACCGCUGUGCCUGGCUACUGUCCGGCCGGUCUUUUGUUUAUUGUAUCCGGCGUGACGGUAAUCGUCACGCAUUGUGGCGCACCCCCGUGAUCCGUAGAUCGAUCUUGAUUGUCCUGCUUUGUUUUCCAAUACAUAUCACAGGUCCUUCGUGUAGCCCCGGGCCUUAGUAUUAUUGUUUGAUUGGCGACGGGGUGCGGUCUGGGCUUCGGGCUGGUAUGCCGCUUUGUCUCGGCCACGGGGUGGCCGGUCAGCCGCAUCAUGCACUGGUAGUGUGGGCUUUAACGCCUCCUCCUUGAGUUGAGGUAGCAACCUCCGCUUUGGGUAACUUUUGGUAGGCGCUCGAGUCUAUAUUCCUCAGCAGCCAGGACCUCGGUCCAUCUAUCGGUUAGCAGAUCUUGAUCAGCUUGGAGCUGUUGCUGCUUUUUCUUCAGGCUUUUUGUAGUGGCUAUAAGCCGGCGGUUGAAGCGCUCCUGCUUGACGGGAUCCUCAGGCAUGAUGAAUUCUUCGUCGCCAAGGCUCACUUUGUGUUCAGAGAGAGGCAUGUAAUUAUCAUCCUCUGAUUCUCCAUCUGUUGCCUGUUCCUUAGGGCUAGCUUUCCCAUCCUCUUGCUCGGCCUGCUCGAAGCCUGGCUGGGUAGGAUUGUUUUCGUCUUCGGCACCAUCCGAUUGUUGUAUCUUGUGCCAGUAUCACUAUUUUUGCUAUGGCGGGGCUUGGAUCGGCGCCUAUGACGCCAGUGCCUAGAUUGCUUCUCCACGGGGUUAUCUCCCAUUGCCUCAUCACCAUUGCUUUCUUUGGGGGUGUCCACCAUAUAUAUAUAUCGUAUGAUGAGGUGGCUGUCCAGCUCCCUAUAGGCGGUGGUUCCUGUUCUUCUCCUGCAUCAUCGUCCAUACCGUCGAUGUCUUUGGAGUUAUAGUCAAGCACGUCGGUUAAGUCAUCGAUAGUGGCUAUCAAGUGAGUGGUGGGUGGGGAACGAAUUUUUUCGUCGCCCGCUUCCCACUCGAGCUAGACAUAGUUCAGCCAAGAGUCUCCCGACAAGGAAAGAGACCUUAAUGAAUUUAGCAGAUCACCCAAGGGCGAGUGCUGAAAAAUAUCCGUGGAGGUGAACUCCAUGACUGGUGCCCAAUCAGAUUUGAUUGGCACGGACAUACGCGGUUCGGAUCCUGUAGCCAGAGACGAGUCCGAGGGUCCGAGGAUACCAUCCUCAUUGGAGGUGGCUUCGGUGUUUGGCUCCAACACCGAUGAGUGUUCGGCCUCCGUGGCGGGGUCUAUCGACCCGUUCUAGGAGGGCGCGAUCUGCUCCAGAUUGAACAUUGUCCGAUGGCAGACCUAAGUCACGCUCGUCGCGAUGGUUCGGCAUACCUGACAUGGGCUUGAAUCCGUCGAAGAUCAAGUCUCCGUGGACAUCAGCAGUAUAGUUCAAGCUUCCAAACCUGACCUGAUGGCCAGGGGCGUAGCUAUCGAUCUGCUCCAAGUGGCCAAGCAAGUUGGCACAUAGUCCAAAGCCGCCGAAUACGAAGAUCUGUCCAAGAGGGGAAACCUCCCCCUGGACUACAUCAUUGAAGAUGAUUGAAGGAGCCAUCGAGCCUUAUCGCGACGACAAAGUGGAACUCUCAAUGAAAGCACCAAUGUCGGUGUCAAAACUGGCGGAUCUCGGGUAGGGGGUCCCGAACUGUGCGUCUAAGGCUAAUGGUAACAGGAGGCAGGGGACAUGAUGUUUUACCCAGGUUUGGGCCCUCUCAAUGGAGGUAAGACCCUACUUCUUUCUUGAUUGAUCUUGAUGAUAUGAGUAUUACAAGAGUUGAUCUACCACGAGAUCAUAGAGGCUAAACCCUAGAAGCUAGCCUAUGAUUAUGAUUGUUGUUGUCCUAGGGACUAAACCCUCUGGUUUAUAUAGACAUCGGAGGGGGCUAGGGUUACACAGAGUCGGUUAUAGAGAAGGAGAUUUACAUAUCCGAAUUUCCAAGCUUGCCUUCCACGCAAAGGAGAGUCCCAUCCGGACACGGGACGAAGUCUUCAAUCUUGUAUCUUCAUAGUCCAAUAGUCCCGCCAAAGUAUAUAGUCCAGCAGUCCGAGGACCCCUUAAUCCAGGACUCCCUCAGCAGGACCUAACGAACUAACAUUACUUGAAUUACUUUAACGAGACUGAUAUCCCUCUUGAGGAGAUCUCGGAUGCGGCAUUGCAAUGUCAGCACGUCAUUAACUGGCCCCCAGUCCAGCCCUUUGUUGACCCAUGAUGCUAGUUGGGGCAGAGGGGCAGAGCGGAAGGCUAGGGUGGCAGCCCACUUUGUAACUUGAGGUGCUGUGAUGUAAAACCGCUCCCGUUGCCAUAGGUCGGACACCUCUAGGAAGGAACCCUUUGGCCAUAGGGCGUCGGCACCCUUGCUUAUUAUAGCGCCUCCACACUCUGCGUGUCGCUUGUCGAUCAUCUUCGGCUUCACAUUGAAGGUCUUGAGCCAUAAGCCGAUGUGUGGGAUAAUGCGGAGGAAGGCCUCACACACGACGAUAAACGACGAGAUGUGAAGGAAGGAAUCUGGAGCUAUACCAUGGAAAUCAAGCCCGUAAUAGAACAUGAGCCCUCUAACGAAUGGAUCAAGACUAAAGCCUAGCCCUCGGAGGAAGUGAGAAACGAAUACAACACUCUCAUGGGGUUCGGGUGUGGGGAUAACCUGCCCUUGAGCAGGUAGCCUAUGAAGGAUUUCGGCGGUUAGAUACCUAGCCUCCCUAAGCUUCUUGAUGUCCUCCUCUGUGACAGAAGAGGCCAUGCACCAGCCAUGAAGGUUGGAUCUGUACAUGGUUGAAGGUCCGGAGCACUUAGACUGAACCUUGGAUGUUGGCACUCGAGGUAGGGGAAGGGAAAGAUCGGGCGUUGUUGGCGUUCUGGGAACGGGGGUCCCCAAACUUGCCUGCCUGCGACCUGUGGCGUGGCUCAAGGGGCGGCCCAGCAUGGCCCAUCUUCAUCAGCACGAGCUCAAGACCCUCGCGAGGGGCCAAGCCUCGUGAGGCGGACGACGGGAGGCUUCCUCAGGCACGGCCUCGUCAGGCUGGCUCGCGAGGAGGCGGAGAGAUCAAGGCGGGGUACCUCACGAGGUGCCCAUGACGCAAGCCAUGAUGACCAAGGGCGCCAGGCGGGCGCGAGCCCGCGCAGUGUCCUUCUUUCCUCUUUGGUGCAAAGGGAGCAAGCACAGGCGAGAGCAUCAAGCAAAGGCAUCCAUUUCGGUGCAACAAGACCAAAGACCAGCAGAACGGCAGGAUGGAGGUCAUCGUGGAGCCCAAGCCGGCGUCACCACCAGAGCCUUUGGCAGGCGAGGACCAACUUUAGUCAGGAUAAGUGUACUAGAUGUUCCCCUUCAAAAUGGCUAAUUGUGGGCGCCCUUCCCGCUCAAUAUUUGGUAAGAGGCCCAGUGCCUUUGCCUAUAAAUGGACUAGCCACCACAAGAUAGAGGAGCAGGAGAAGGGAAUGGGAUCCUCACCAGGAAACUGGUAGAGAGAGCGACUGAACUCCCCCUAGUAGUUCAUCGCACAAGCCAAGAACAGACCCUCGCGAGGCUGUUCUCCCUUGUAUUGUUCAUCAUCAGCCCAAGAGGCAAUCCACCACACCACACACUGGAGUAGGGUAUUACACCACAAUGGUGGCCUGAACCAGUAUAAACUCUGUGUCUCUUGUGUUGUUCCUUUGAUUGCUUAGAUCCUAGCAAGGCGGCGAGGCGCAGGCAGUAGAAGGCUAGAUCUCCGGGCGCACCCUAUAGUUCGAACCUAGAGGGUCUUCCGGAACCCGAAAUCCGACAUUUGGCGCGCCAGGUAGUGGUGCGCCGGAAUUCGCCUUACGCCACCCUGUUCUUCACCGACCAUCGCGUCCAUGUCAGACGCUCGUCGGGCCCACGCCGAGCGCCGAGCCGCUCUCACUUCUCGCGUCACCCAGAUGGCCCCCGCCGGCAGCCACCCCCGCCGUUCCCCAUCUCCUGCCAUCAACGCCACCACCGGCCCAGCGGGGAACGAGCAGCAAGCAUCGUUCCAGCAUCCAUCCAUGAGGCGAGACGGCCGCACUGCCACUCCCUCGCUCGCCCCGGCUGGUUCUUCGUCCCGCGCGCCCUGCGCGGCCAUGGAGGCUCGAGCUGCGCUCAUUGCCGCAAACGAGCUCCUGCGCUACCGCCCAAUCGACGACGUCUAUGAAGAGUGGCUCGCCGCGUCGCCGAGCUCGUCCGCGCCGCAGGGGGCUCCCCUGCGCCAUCCUUCUCGAUGCACCACGCCCCGCCCUGCACGGGGAAUGAAGCUCCGGGGGCGCCUCAGCCGCCUCCCCCUCAAGAAGGCUCCCUGGCCCCAAGGCGCGUGGCCCCUGGAUGGAACCCACCCUGUCUGGUGCCAGCGCAGCAAGAGUGGAGCUGCCAAGAGGUUCCUCGCCCCCAAGAGGCUGCCCGAGUGCUCCCUGCUCCGGUCCGUCACGACCACGCUCUUGUCCCAGCGCGCCAAGACCCCGCGCUGCUCCCAGCUGCAGCGCAUGGGGGCCCGCAAGACCAAGCUCCUCGUCACUAGAGGCCUCCCGUGGCCACGGCAGGAUGCCGUGCCUUCACAGCCGGGCUGCGCAGCGUCGUGUGGCCCUGCAAGUUCAAGCCAGACCUGCCUCCUCACUACGAUGACACGGCCGGCCCUGCGGAGUUCCUCCAGCUCUACGAGCUGGGCAUCGAAGCCGCCAACGGGGACGAGAAGGUCAUGGCAAACUGGUUUCCCAUGGCACUCAGAGACGGGGCCCGCACCUGGCUCCUGAACCUGGCACCAGGCACGAUCUCCUCCUGGGACGAGAUGCGCACCCGUUUCAUCGCCAACUGCCAAGGUACUCGCGACCGGCCACCUGCCGUGAGCGACAUGCGCCGCAUCAAGAAGCAACCAAGGGACACCCUACAGAAGUACAUCCAGCGCUUCAACAAAGCACGUCUCAAGAUUCCCAAGGUGACCGAGGAGGCCAUCAUCUCAGCCUUCUCCGACGGUGUGUGCAACGUCAAGAUGAAGGAGGAGCUGGCAAUGCAGGAAGAUAUGUGCACUUCCUUGGAGCUGUUCAACUUGGCAACCAAGUGCGCCAGGGCUGAGGAAGGGCGCCUUUCCCUCCUCGAGCUGCCACCCGCCGACCCAGAAGAAAAGAAAUCCAAGGCCAAGGACGUGAAGUGCAAGGGGCCUGUCGUGCUCGCGGCAGAACCAGACACCAAGCGGGGCAGAGAUCAGCCCGAGUCUUUCAAGGGCAGCCGGUACUGUGUGUACCAUGACCUCCACACCCACAACACCAACGAAUGCCAAGAGCUCCGAGCCAUGCUAGAAGGAAGGGUCGGCCGACGCCCCGACCGCAAUGAUCGCGGCUAUGGCCGAGGAGGAGGAAGGAACGCGAGACGUUAGGGAGACCGCGGCCCUCGCCAAGGGUGGCGCGACCGACCUCGUGAGGAUCGCUGACAGGAUCAGCCUCGCGAGGGAGACUGGAGGGAUCGGCCUCGCGAGGAUCGCCCGCAAGGAAACGCAGGCCUCCCUCCACUGCUGCCGCAGCCAAGGAGAAAUGAGGACCAUCAUCAGGACGAGGGGGCUGGGGGCUUCCAGGAACCGCGUGCGAUCGCCUGCAUCCAGGGCGGAGCUCAAGCCCAGCCUCUCAAUGCAUCUUCAAGCAGUUCGCCCGCGAAGUGAAUGCAGUCCUCCCUAAGCUUGAAGCCACGCCACCUCAGGUGGUCGGCGUGCGCCAUCACGUUCAGCUCAGCGGAUCAGCUCAAGUGCGCGGCCACAGCCGGAGUCCUCCCGAUGAUUUGCUACCCAGUCAUCAGCAACGUGCAGGUCACCAGGACCCCCAUCGAUGGUGGGGCAGGGCUCAACGCCCUGUCCGUAGAGACGUUCGACAAUCUCCAAGUGCCUUACGAUCAGCUUCAGCCAACCAAGCCUUUCUCCGGAGUCACCGACGGCUCCACAGUUCCAAUUGGGCAGGUCCGCCUCCCUUUCACCUUCGGGGCGUGCAACAACUACCGCACCGAGCUCAUCGACUUCGACAUUGCCCACAUUCGCCUGCCGUACAACGCCAUCCUCGGCUACCCAGCUCUCGCCAAGUUCAUGGCCGUGACUCAUCACGGCUACAACGUCCUCAAGAUGCCAGGAAGAGGUGGAGUCAUCACGGUGCCUUGUGAAGAAAGAGACGCGGUGUGCUCCCUGGAACGAGAUUUUCAGGACGCAUCACUUGAAGAUCCAGAUUGCGGGAGCGGGAGGCUCCCUAAGACUGCCCCCAAGAAGAAGAAGACAUCGCCAGGCCCGACCCCUCAGCGGGCAGGCACCUCAGGGUCUGCGCCUGCUCAGGGGGUACCUCCUUCUGUCGCAUAGGGAGGCGCGCCCGGCGCCCUCCUCAGGCAGGGCUCGGGGGCUCCCACCUGGAGGGCCACCGACCUUGCUAAGGUCACGAGGGAGGCGCUUGGGCACCACUUGGAGGCGUGUUUCAGAACACAUUUCCCUCAGGAAGGAGCCAAGCAAGCAGGGCCAAACCCUCAGGAGUUCGUCAGUCAGAUCACACAAGAGUUGCAGGAGUCAAGAGUCAUGAGUGGCAGCCGCAGCUUACCCGCUGCAUCUCCCCAUCCAGGUGAGGAUGGUGGGCUGCGCGUCUGCAUCGACAUCCCAGGGCUCAACCGAGUCGCCUCUCAGGAUCGCUUCUAGCCCUCACGUGUGGGGCGCUGCGGAGGCCCACCCCACAGCUACAUUCGCAUGCCCUACGGCUUGCCGAACGCGGCUGCGGUGCACCAGCGCCUCAUGAGGAGCAUCUUGGAGGCUCAGGAGGCCAGGCGUUAUGCAGUCCUAGCGGAGAUGGAGAUGGUUCGCGAGGAGCCACCAGCGCCUCCGGAGCCUCCCGAGGCUCCCGGGCCUGGGGGCUCGUGAAGAUCGGCUCCCGCAGCCCGCUACGUCAGCUACUUCAACACCCCUUCAUUGUCAACACUAUCAGGUGACAUCUUUCAAGCCUCGUUUCCAGCUGGGAGCGCCCUCAGGGCUGCAUCAUUCCCCAGGACGCGUGGGUCCAUCCCUGCGGCGUGUAUCCCUUUUGCUCGUGUUUUUAGCUUACUUUGUUGGGGGCGCCCCUCGGGCUGCAUCAUCCCCAAGUCGCUCGGGUCAGACCUAGCGGUGUGUACCCUACUUGCGUUUAUUUACAGGCCAUGCAUUCGACCCAUCAUGCUUGUUAUUUGGUGCCUGUCCGUGGCACCUCUUCUUCCUUGAUGUCGGCAGCUUGCGCGUUAAAGGGGGGGUACCUGAGCAUCGCAACUCAGGGCUCCUACCGGCUCUCUAGCCCUCACCCUCUGGCUUUGCCCACGGCAUCAUGCCCCGGCAAACCAGCGACGGCUGAGACUAGCUCGAGGGCCGGGACCCGUGGACGUAGAGCGUCGACAUUUAACCAAGAUUGCGCGUUAAAGGGGGGGGUACCUGAGCAUCAUGACUCAGGGCUCCUACCGGCUCUCUAGCCCUCACCCUCUGGCUUUGCCCACGGCAUCGUGCCCCGCUANNNNNNNNNNNNNNNNNNNNNNNNNNNNNNNNNNNNNNNNNNNNNNNNNNNNNNNNNNNNNNNNNNNNNNNNNNNNNNNNNNNNNNNNNNNNNNNNNNNNNNNNNNNNNNNNNNNNNNNNNNNNNNNNNNNNNNNNNNNNNNNNNNNNNNNNNNNNNNNNNNNNNNNNNNNNNNNNNNNNNNNNNNNNNNNNNNNNNNNNNNNNNNNNNNNNNNNNNNNNNNNNNNNNNNNNNNNNNNNNNNNNNNNNNNNNNNNNNNNNNNNNNNNNNNNNNNNCCCUCUGGCUUUUCCCACGGCAUCGCGCCCCGGCAAACCAGCGACAGCUGAGACCAGCUCGAGGGCCAGGACCCGAGGACGUAGUGCAUCGACAUCUAACCAAGCUUGCACGUUAAAGGGGGGGUACCUGAGCAUCAUGACUCAGGGCUCCUACCGGCUCUCUAGCCCUCACCCUCUGGCUUUACCCACGGCAUCGCGCCCCGGCAAACCAGCGAAGGCUGAGACUAGCUCGAGGGCCGGGACCCGAAGACGUAGAGCAUCGGCAUCUGGCCAAAUUUGCAGGAACACAGCACAAGUUAAGGCCCAGUGCCAGGCGCAACCCGCCUUGGGGGAAGGUCCCGUGAGUCGCGCGCUGGCUCACGGGUGCCCAAUACACCUCGUCAGGCCUUUAGUGCCUCGUCGCCUCUCCAAAGCAACUAACGGCUGACCGCCGCUUGUCAUAGCGGACUUUUGCUCUUUUUGUGGUGGGUCUGUAGGAUCCCCCCAAGGAGAAGCACCAGGUGAGGCCCUCACAGCGUCCUCUUCACUCUCGUCCAUGCGAACCGCUUGCGCGUUAAAGGAGGGGUACCUGAGCAUCGCGACUCAGGGCUCCUACCGGCUCUCUAGCCCUCACCCUCUGGCUUUACCCACGGCAUCGCGCCCCGGCAAACCAGUAAUGGCUGAGACCUGCUCGAGGGCCGGGACCAGAGGACGUAGAGCAGAAAGGGGACCAGAGGUGAGAGGAAAGAGGCACGCGGAGACCUCGCCAGGCAACCCCUCGCUGGCCAAGGCACAGACCUAGCGCCGCACCAGGAAGCGUUUCCUGACCCUCGAGAUAAGUCACUCUCCGGAAACAAUAGCUAUCGCAGCACCGUCACCGCAUCCAAUGCAAUCCCGUGUUAGCAACUCACAUUCCUUUCUCACCGAACGAUAGCUGCUUGAGUGCUAAAGGGGACCUCCGGGACUCCAGGCCGCUCACCUCCUGGCCUUGACCACGGCAUCACGACCUGGCAUACCAGCGACGGCUGAAGCGGCCUUGGGACCGGGACCUGUCGGCGCAGAGCGCCAAGCCCUCGUGAGGUCAAAAAGGAAGAAACUAAGCUAAGACGGAAUAAGCAUCUCGCACUGCUUCACGAUAAGGAUCAUAUUGACAAACGGAGCUACAGACACCUUACAAGCCCCCACGGGGUGUAUUCUUGGAUCCUCGCAGGGACAAAAGAUGCAUAUCCUAAGGAGUCCUAACUAUAGGAACCGUCGCGGCAGACGCCAUCAUCAACGGUGGGCCGCCAGGCACCGACGCCAACCUCAUCCAGAUCAGAGACGGCCGCGGCCUAACGAGCCCGUCCUUCUCCGAGAGCGGUGCAGGCUCGGGGGCUCGUACCUGUCGUUGCUCGUCUCCGGAGUCGCGAAGAGCUCGGCAGAGUCGUUGGAUCCUCGGCACCCUCGCCGCUUGAGGAGCUGCUGGAAGAACGUGCGAUGGCAGGCCUGGUCCUUGCCGCUUCGGGGCUUCUGCCGCUGCCUCUGGGAUAGCACUCCAGCCGACGCCCAUCUUCGUCGAAGACCUUGAAGAGCAUCAUGGAAGCACCGUCGAACUCCAGGUGGAUCACGAGGGCGCACUCGUCCUGCAAACCCGGGCGAUCUCGCCCCAGCCCCGGGUCAUGAAGACCAUACCUGGAGUGUUGACCUCGACAUCUGCAUCGGUCGCAGGAGUCUGGCAAUCGGCGUGCCGCAGCCAGAGCCUGAAGGGCCCCCUCGCCGGAAUCUCGAAGGCGAAGGAAGGAGGAAGGAGAAUCCAAGAUCGAGGAGGCAUGACGGCGUGGAGCACAAACUCUCGGGAGGAGCCCUCAGCGUGAACCCCAGGAGGGACAACAUGCACCGCUGUGACCCGCCGGCACCGACGGCGGCGUCGUCCAUGGCGCUCGGUAUAAGCUCCCGCAGGGCCCUCGAGGUGGGCGUACAAGGGCAGCGAAAACCCUGGUGGCGGCCGCUCGCACCAAGGCCUCGACACCUCCUGCCGCGCGCCCUCAUCUCGGCGGCAGAGGACCAACCGCUUCUUUGGCGGAAGCGGGUCGGGGCCCUCUCGGGGGGUGAGGGAGUCACGGACUAGGAGGUGUCCGGAUAGCCAAACUAUCAUCAUCGGCCGGACUCCAAGACUAUGAAGAUAAAAGAUUGAAGACUCCAUCCCGUGUCCGGAGGGGACUUUCCUUGGUGUGGAAGGCAAGCUUGGUGAUAUGGAUAUGUAGAUCUCCUACCAUUGUAACCGACUCUGUGUAACCCUAGCCCUCUCCGGUGUCUGUAUAAAUCGGACAGAUUUAGUCCGUAGGACGAACAACAAUCAUACCAUAGGCUAUCUUCUAGGGUAUAGCCUCCUUGAUCUCGUGGUAGAUCUACUCUUGUAACACACAUCAUCAAUAUUAAUCAAGCAGGACGUAGGGUUUUACCUCCAUCAAGAGGCCCGAACCUGGGUAAAAAAUCGUGUCCCUUGUCUCCUGUUACCAUCCGCCUAGACACACAGUUCGGGACCCCCUACCCGAGAUCCGCCGGUUUUGACACCUACAUUGGUGCUUUCAUUGAGGGUUCCUCUGUGUCGUCACAGUCAGGAAGGAUGCCUGUUCCUGUCUUUAAAGACGGUGCCGUCGUCAAGGGAGCUUUGGCCGCCGGCCAAACUAUACGGCUAGGUGGUUUUCUUAUGACCGCCUGUUCGGCCACCGCUCCGACGGUGACCUCUCAGGUCAUCAAAAGGGAUCUUCACGUCAGCUCGGAAUUCGCCGAGCAGUUAGAUCCGAUCGAGCUCUCCUCCGUAAAUGAGCUCUUGGAUCGCAUCGCCGCCCUGGGAGUCACUACAGACUACGAUUAGAUUGGGCUUAAAACCGAUCUGAGAGAAAUUAACUCUCCCCAGGCUACCCACCACAUUGUUGUGGUAGAGGAACAAUGCGGCGACUCUUCUUCUAUGUUGAAAACCAACUAUGUCCAGAUUCCCGAUCCCUCCAUGCCAGAUUCCUGCAGAGGGACGGACGCCAAUCAAAUGAUGAACCUAGAGUCAGGCAUCAGAUCAGAUUCGUUGGAAAGCAUCAAACAAACCAAGCUUCCAAAUCCGGAAGCUUCUUGGCCUUUGAGCCUCAGAUCGGGCGGGGUUCCGAACUUAAUUCCACCCGCCCACCCAAACAUAAGCGAUCUAUCUCAAAUACGGCAAGAGCCCGAUGAAACAGUACAUCGUGGGCCAGAUUCGUCCUGGUUAUGAACAGGAUAAAGGACUGCCAUGAAGAAAGCGCGAUUUCAAUCUUCUGCAACAAUUGCACGGACAAGGGAAUCAUAAACGCCAUCAGUCGUCGCGAAGUUACACGCUUCGCUGACCUAGCGACCAUUGUAAAAAAAUACUGUGUGAUGGAGAGUGCCUGGAAAACCGAAACUAGGUUCUGGGACAAUCCGGCCCUGAAUACAACCCCAGUCCGAAAUAAAAGAGUGCGUCAUACUCAAGCACCUGGGUUAAAAACCAAAAAGCAAAAAACCCCUAAAGGGUACAGAACCGUACUACAGGGAUGGCUCAACGGACCCUGCAAAAUCCACAGUACGGAGGGCGCCACUCCAACACAUAGCCUUUGAGCAUGUUAGAUACUACGGCAGGUGGCCAAAAGUGGCGAAGGCUUUUUAGCCCCGGGCAACCAGCCCAGCAGUACCAGUACGGUAUUAACAGUCUUGGAGAAUUUCGCAUCAAAUAACAUGCGGAAACGAACAAUCCGCGGCCUCGCCGAAGUCUACCAAGUAGCAACAGGAAAUCCAUGGAGCAACACGGCUAUCACCUUCAAUGCCAGCGACGAACCUAAAUUCCGAACAGCUAGAGCACCAGCCGCAUUGGUCCUCAGUCCGAUAGUGGAUGGCUUUCGUCUUACCAAGGUACUCAUGGAUGGCGGCAGUAGAUUAAACCUCAUCUACGAAGAAACCCUUCAAAAAAUGGAAAUUGACUGGAGCCGCAUUGAGAGAAGCAGCACAACAUUCAGGGGAAUAAUCCCUAAUUCGAGAAGUACGCUGCACAGGAAAAAUCACGCUAGAUGUAGUGUUCGGCUCGCCAGAAAACUACACGUCUGAAGAGGUCACAUUCCAGAAGAUGAUAGUUCGGCUAUCCAGACUAUGAAAGUGCGGUGUUCAUGGCAUCCCGGAAGCUGCGACACUACUUUCAAGAGUGUUCCAUAACGGUGGCCUCCGAAAUACCUCUCAACGACAUUAUAAACAAUCACGAUGCGACGGGCAGGAUUGCAAAAUGGGCCAUUGAGCUCUUACCAUUUGAUAUAACCUACAAACCACGGCGAGCUAUCAAGUCGCAAGUUCUGGCUGUCUUCAUCGCCGAAUGGACCAAAGCCGAACUCCCUAAAGAGUACGGCGCAUACUCCAAUUGGAACCUGCAUUUCGACGGCUCCAAAAUGUUGGCGGGUUGGGGGCUGGCGUCAUCUUGACGUCCCCAACCGGAGACAUAGUCCAAUAUGUACUUCAAAUAAUGUACAUGGACUCCAACAAUGCAGCCGAAUACGAGGCCCUUCUACAUGGUCUCCGGAUGGCAAUCUCCAUGGGUAUUCAAGGCCUAGAGGUGCGCGAGGAUUCAAAGCUCGCAAUAUCCCAAAUAGAUGGAGACUUUGACGCCAAGGAUCCGAAAAUGGCAGCCUACCAUAACGUUGUGCUAAAAAUGUCAGCCCGGUUUGAGGGACUCGAAUUCCACCACGUAGCCCGGGAUAAUAACCAGGAAGCAGACGUGCUGGCAGGUACCGGUGCAAAACGUGAUGUCGUCCCUCCAAGCAUCUUCCUGGAAUGGCUCUUUAAGCCAUCCGUAUUAUGGGAAGGGGAGUCCGGAAAUAACAACCCGGAACCAAUUGCACCACCCGACACAGAACAUUCUGACACAAUCGGUGGCUCAGCCAAUGAAAUAACACCUUCAGCCCACGAAAUAAUGGCAGUAAUUGCCCCGUGGACGGAACCAUUUCUAGCCUACCUAGUCAGGCAGGAACUUCCCGAAGACCAAAAAUGAGGCCCGCUGCAUAGUUCGGCGAUCUAAAGCCUACAAGGUCCAUGAGGGAGAAAUUUAUAGGAAUAGCACAACCGGAGUCCUUCAAAGGUGUAUCUCCGAAGAGGAAGGGCGAAAUCUCCUGGCUGGAAUUCACGCCGGACUCGGUGGGCACCACGCUGCAGCCUGAGCCCUUGUAGGCAAGACCUUCCGUACAGGAUUUUAUUGGCCGACAGCCCGGGUAGAUGCUCAGGACUUAGUCCAACGAUGCGUUGGUUGCCAGCUCUUUGCUAAUCAGAGCCACAUGCCACCCACCGCCCUCAAAACUAUACCCAUCACUUGGUCGUUCGCGGUCUAGGGGCUUGACAUGGUUGGACACCUUAAAGGGGGAACCCACAAGAACAAAUACUUAUUGGUCAUGGUGGACAAAUUCACCAAAUGGAUAGAGGCCAAGCCGGUUAAAACGGCAGAAUCCGGACCUGUGAUAGACUUCAUAUCCGGGGUAGUACACCGUUUUGGCAUCCCCCACAGCAUCAUCACUGAUAACGGCACGAAUUUCACGGCCGACAAGGUUAAACUCUGGUGCAAAAACAUGGGCAUCAAGCUCGACUACGCUUCAGUCUACCACCCUCAAACUAACGGUCAAGUGGAACGAGCAAAUGGUCUACUCAUGAGCAGCAUUAAACCCAGAUUAGUGCGACCCCUCACGGAAUCUAACACGCACUAGGUAGAGGAGCUCGACUCCGUGCUCUGGGGCUGCGGACCACGCCAAACCGCACAACCAGAUUCACACCAUUUUAUAUGGUAUACGGCGCUGAGGCAGUUUUGCCCUGCGACAUAAUUCAUGACUCAUCGCGCGUGCGCAUGUACGAGGAAAGAGAAGCCGAGUUAGAUCGGCAGGACAGUUUGGACGCUUUAGAGGAGGAGCGCGACGUGGCAAAAUCCCGUUCCGCAUUCUAUCAACAGCAGGCUCGAAGAUAUCAAAGCAGAGAAGUACGGGCCAAAACUUACAACGUUGGCGAGCUAGUUCUACGCUUGCCGGACAAGAAAAAGGACAAACUUAAGCCCAAAUGGGAAGGUCCCUUCAUCAUUGACCAAGUCCUUACCGGCGGUGCAUACCGUCUACGCAACGCAUCUGACAACCGACUCGAUCCAAACCCAUGGAACGCAGCCCGUCUCCGAAGAUUUUAUGCCUAGCGCCGGACUCAGGGUUCGUCUCCUUCCUCCGUCCACCUUUCAUAGUUUUUCGCUGUCUUUGUUUUCCCUCCUUUCUCCUCCCCUUUCUUCAGCACAAACCUCUUGAGGGCUGAUCUGCGCUUUGUUCGCACUUACUUGAUGUGCUACUCGCACUCGUUAUACCUGGGGGAUUCUUUAACAGAAGCUUAUUUAUAUGGGCUUCAUGCCCAACACAUGUGUCACACUUCCGCAUGUACCUUUUGAUCACUUAAGUUUUGGCCAAGCCGGGUUGCGUGGCUCCUGUGCUUACCCUUACGUUCCCGAUUGUUCGGCUAGGAGGUAAAGGGGGCACCUCUGCGAUUGUUACUGCCGGGUCAGCCGGAUGUGUACCUCAGACUGGGUGAAGCCGAAGGCUAGCGUUCUUAAGGGAAUAUUUGGUCGGUGACCUGAAAGAUGAUUUAUUACUUAACUAUUUAUCUGCCCCCAGAUGCUUUUUCUGCUAUUUUCGCAGUCCGGACAUGCACUUUAGAGCAUGCCUCCCAGGGAAAGGAACCCUUAACGGAACUAUUCUCCCUAGAAGAUGUUUCUUACUAACCAUGUAAUAUUACAUAGCUAGUUGGGCACUUGUCUGAUAAAGAAAUUAUGACCCCUACGCCUUGUCUCCAUGCAUGCCCCAGUUCUUUUAUAACCGUAAGGGUAUUCGGACACACUCCGGACUGUUGGGUCCCGAGGUUGAAGCGAAAAGGUCCGCAAAGACAAACGAUCUACAAUCCGGCUAGAAGGCAUCUUACAUGUCAUUUUUAAAUUACAUCGUCAAACUGACUGAUUGUACUCCUCUUCAAUCCCAUCUAACAGGCUGUCUAAUUUACAGUCCUGUUGGGAAUAUUUCGCGGCCAACUCUACUUGGUCGUACAUUAGGCUCACAGGGAUCUCCUUCCCAUCGGGCCCCGCAGGUCCGACCUCGGCCAUGUGGUUUGGGUCAGCCUUCGGGUACUGCGUCUUCACCAUGGCCCAGGCCUCCCUGGCGCCUUGACGGCAAGCCGAUAUCUUCCACAGACGGAGCCGCCGCCGUACUCCCUGAAGCUUCUCAGCAAGCCCUCCAAUACCCUCGGGUAGGGAGACGGAAGGCCAUAAGGCCUGAACAACACCGCUCAUCGCCUGCCGAACACGUUCGUGCAGUUGCAGCAGCUCGGGAAGAGGGUAUCCCGUGGAACCAGGCAUCUCCUCCGCCGGACGACCCGUGAGCACACCUACAGACAUAUUUCUGUCAAUCGACUUCCUCGCCGAACUCUUCUUUUCAAAAGAGUUUGCUCAAGCACUUACUAUAAAUGCCGCAACGAAGCCGCCGAUUCUCCUUUACGGAGUUCGACAGCUGGACUCGAACAUCUUUUAGUUCUUCGCCCAGCUGGGUGUUGGCAUCUUGGAGUUUGUUCCUCUCCUGCUGCACCCUCAUAAGCACCCUCUCGCCGGCCUUCACCUGGUGCAGCAGCUGUUGCUUGUCCGGAUCUAGUCUGGCACCCUCUGCAAUACUAUUGUCAGAUUAUACACACACGCCGCACUUCAUAAACUACUUCUAUUUUCAAAAUAUGAAUUACCAGAGGGGGUCUCAGUGGCUCCCCCGGCAGCGGCUAGUGCGGCCUCAAGGUGGGCCUUGCACUCUUGAAGCUCCUGAGACAGGUGGGUAUUCUUCUCAGUAAGAUCCUGCAUAACAAAUGAUCCUUAAAUCAGUUAGUUUAACUAUUUUAAGUCUCAGGGGCUACUGGCGUAUAUAGCCAUUAAAAUUCCUUACCCGUAUGUCGUUUACAUACUGCUCCGUGGCUUUGGUUAAACCAUCUUGAGCAGCACGGAGGUGCGUGUCUCCCGCAUUAAAGGCAUUUAACGCCUCAGGGGAGAAACACGCGUCACGAAGAACUGUCUGACGGCGCCUAUGAUUCAUGGUGCUCUCCACCUCAGACCUGGUGGCGGACAACCUGUCGGCAUCCUCUGUUGGAGGAGCAUCCGGCUCGCGCCUUGCGCUCGCCUCCCCUUCUGGACCAGGCGUUGGAGCCUGGCUGGCGGAGGCUUGGUGUGCACCCUCUCCGGACUCAGUCCGGCGAGCACUUUUUCUCCUGGAAGAAUCAUGAGCAUUAAUAUGCCUCCCAGGAGUCUUUCUCUUAAAGGACAAUGGUGCACCGUACCUUUGCGGCAAUGUUUUGAUUCGCGCCGCACUCCUCUUCCGCCUGCUAGGCCGAACUAACCUCGUUUGGUCAGUCGCCGUGGGCUCGGCUUCCUGCCGUGAAGGCACCUCCUACCGAGCACCAUUGGUGCAUGGUGGUCAGAAAUAAGCAUUAAAAAAGUAACGGUGUCAGGACUUCGGUCGUACUCACCUAGGAAGUCGGACACAAAACGGGGUAGUCAGCCGUAAUGGCGACUAAAGCAUUAUCUAUGCUGAGCUGGUGGAACACCCCGUCAAUUAAAUCCACCUUAAUGUCCGGAUCCUCUUCGGAGGCCGGAUCAAGGGAUCUUCCCGGAUCCUCGGGUUGUGGAGUCGGGCUUUUUAUGCCCUCCACAUCCCGGUGCAGUUCCUACGUCGAAACCAUAAGGUAAGACACUUAUCUUUGAAAGCGUGGAUAAGAUAUUUAAGCGUCCGCUUACCCAGCUUCGAGGGUUAUUUAUGGAGAAUCCAUGCAAUGGACUCAUGCGGAGGAAGUCCUCCUCCUCUCCCUUGUACAAGCCGGACAGGAUCUUCACCAGAUCGGCGGCCGAUCCCGGUCCCGUGCGGCCAUGACGGGUGGCGUCAUUCUCCCCGUUGAAAUCCCACAUGGGGUGGCCCCUAUAUUGGAGCGGCUGCACCCCACGCAUAAUGCAUGUGGCCAUGACUCCAAUCAUGGUUAAUCCGGAAUGGGCUAGUAGCCGUAUCCGACCCAUCAGAUAAUGGACGCUCCUAUCCUCUUCCCGUUGAGGGCUCCGCGGGCGCCAACUCAGCGUUUCUUCAGAGGAGCGUUGCUAAACUCCGGGAGGCCGAUCCGAACUGGAUCCGGGAGUGGGGCAUCUUCCAUAUAGAACCACUCCGAAGGCCAGUCUUCGGACGCCUUCUUCGGAGUUCCGGAUAGAUAUCCGGUCCCGGCGAUGCGCCAUAUUUCGGCUCCGCCCACUUGAUAUAUCGACCCCUUGUGAGAACGGGUACGAGGCAAAACAGCCUCUUCCACAGCGCAAAAUGGGGCUCGAUGCCCAAGAACAGCUCGCAAAGAGCUACAAAGCCCGCGAUGUGCAAAAUAGAGGCAGGCGUGAGGUGGUGGAGUUGGAGUCCAUAGAACUCCAGGAGCCCCCGGAGAAACGGAUGUAUAGGAAAUCGGAGUCCCCUUAUCAAGUAGGAGACGAAGCAUACCCGCUCUCCUUUCGAGGGAUUGGGGAUGAUCUCCGCCUGCUUCCCGCCCUUGUAGGUGGCCAGUCCGGCUCGAACUGGAACCAUAAAGGCCGGGGGAAGGUAUCCCUCUGUUUGGAGCGCCACUAACUCGCUAUGAGGGACUGAGCACCUCCUCCAAUCUCCUGGCUUAGGACUGGGAGCGCGAGAAGAGGAGCCGCGUCGACUGUCCAUGUUGGAAUGGAUUUUUUGUCAGACGCGCCUCGAUGAGUACUUGCGGAAGGAGGGUGGUGUGAUUUGGAUCUGGAUCCUCGCCUCUCUUAUAGGCAGCUUAUCCGCGCAGUUAGGGGGGAGAAUACCCUGGCUUUUCGCAUUCGUACGACACAUGGAAGAAGGCCAUUAUUGAACGUAGAAGCCAAGGAGCGCAACAUUUAUGAAGCAACCGGACACUAUCCGGCAAAUACAUGGAGCACGAAGGAGAACCCGCCUUGCAAACGCUGAAGACAACAUUCGCGCCGGACUCGUCGUCAUUGAAGCCUGGUUCGGGGGCUACUGAGGGAGUCCCGGACUAGGGGGUGUCCGGAUAGCCGAACUAUCAUCAUCGGCUGGACUCCAAGACUAUGAAGAUACAAGAUUGAAGACUUCGUCCCGUGUCCGGAGGGGACUUUCCUUGGCGUGGAAGGCAAGCUUGGCGAUACGGAUCUGUAGAUCUCCUACAAUUCUAACCGACUCUGUGUAACCCUAGCCCUCUCUGGUGUCUAUAUAAACCGGAAGGCUUUAGUCCGUAGGACGAACAACAAUCAUACCAUAGGCUAGCUUCUAGGGUUUAGCCUCCUUGAUCUCGUGGUAGAUCUACUCUUGUAACACACAUCUUCAAAAUUAAUCAAGCAGGACGUAGGGUUUUACCUCCAUCAAGAGGGCCCGAACCUGGGUAAAACAUCGUGUCCCUUGUCUCCUGUUACCAUCCGCUGAGACGCACAGUUCGGGACCCCCUACUUGAGAUCCGCCGGUUUUGACACCGACAGGGGGCCUUUCCCUUCUCUUCUGCGGAGAACCGGCGUAUCGGAGCCAUUGCGGCAAGGCAGAGCAGUGGCGAAGAUGAAGAAGAGGAGAAGUAGCAGAGGAAGAUGAACUGGAACGGCUCGCGCCAUUCCGUACUUAUAGCCAGGGGAGGCCAACCGCCGGCUUCCACGAUCACAGGUAAUCAUGACCAGUGUUUUCAUGCAGGGACUUGUCAGUUCGUGCAGUCGCCGAGGCGUCGUGGGGGAGCGGAGCCGCCCACGUCCAAUCAACCGCCGCGCGGCGCCCGAGGCUGCAAGCUGUUAGGGCCCGCGGCACUUCACACUUGCCCCCUCGCCUCUCUGCUCAACCAAGUCCGGGCGCGCCUUGGGCCCGGGGGCUACUGUCGGUGUUCUGGGAACGGGGGUCCCCAGACUUGCCUGCCUGCGGCCUGCGGCGUGGCUCAAAGGGCGGCCCAGCAUCGCCCAUCUUGAUCAGCACGAGCUCAAGACCCUCACGAGGGGCCAAGCCUCGCGGGGCGGACGACAGGAGGCUUCCUCAGGCACGGCCUCAUUAGGGUGGCUCGUGAGGAGGCGGCUAGAUCAAGGCGGAGUACCUCAUGAGGUUCCCAUGACGCAAGCCAUGACGACCAAGGGCGCCAGGCGGGCGCCAGCCCGCACAGUGUCCUUCUUUCAUCUUUGGUGCAAAGGGAGCAAGCGCAAGCGAGAGCAUCAAGCAAAGGCAUCCAUUUCGGUGCAACAAGACCAAGACCAGUAGAACAGCAGGAUGGAGGUCAUCAUGGAGCCCAAGCCGGCGUCACCACUAGAGCCUUUGGCAGGAGAGGACCAACUUUAGUCAGGAUAAGUGUACUAGAUGUUCCCCUUCAAAAUGGCCAAUUGUUGGCGCCCUUCCCGCUCAAUAUUUGGGAAGUGGCCCAGGGCCUUUGCCUAUAAAUAGGACUAGCCACCACAAGAUAGAGGAGAAGGAGAAGGGAAUGGGAUCCUCACUAGGAAACCGGUAGAGAGAGUGACUGAACUCCCCCUAGUAGUUCGUCGCACCAGCCAAGAACAGACCCUCGCGAGGCUGUUCUCCCUUGUAUUGUUCAUCAUCAGCCCAAGAGGCAAUCCACCACACCACACACUGGAGUAGGGUAUUACACCACAAUGGUGGCCUGAACCAGUAUAAACUUUGUGUCUCUUGUGUUGUUCCUUUGAUUGCUUAGAUCCUAGCGAGGCGGCGAGGCGCAGGCAGUAGAAGGCUAGAUCUCCACGCGCACCCCAGAGUUCGAACCUAGAGGGUCUACCGGAACCCGAAAUCCGACAGGCGUGGAAAGGAAGGGACAGGUCUUGACCUCUUUAUAAAGGGGGUGAAUAUCAAGCAUCCUCCACGUGGCCGUUUGCAACUUGCCUAAAACCGAGGAGUCAUACUAACGGCACGGUUGGGUUACCCAUGCCUGUAUUGAUGAGAAUCCCGUGAUAAGGGGAACAUGAUCUCUACUUCGAAAAGAUGUGCCAAUAAAACUGCCUCGCAAGACGUGCAGCAGCAGGUUGAGAAAAGCGGUUCGUAUAAUGACCGGGCCGCGGCGUGAUGUCACGCUAUGAAAAGUUGUCAGCAAAUUAGAUUUAUGGAAUAUUGUGCUCUCUACGGUGGUACGUGGAAUUUGUUUUGCAGAGCCGGACAUGAUUCAUGUGUUCAAAAUCUACCUUGGAGUAUUCGGAGAAGGAACCCGCCUUGCAAUGUCGAAGACAAUCUACGCGCCGGACUCAUCGUCAUUGAAGCCUGGUUCAGGGGCUACUGAGGGAGUCCUGGAUUAGGGGGUCCUUGGACAGCCAGACUAUAUGCUCAUGCCGGACUAUUGGACUAUGAAGAUACAAGAUUGAAGACUUCGUCCCGUGUCCGGGUGGGACUCUCCUUUGUGUGGAAGGCAAGCUUGGCAAUUCGGAUAAGUAGAUUUCCUUCUCUGUAACCGACUCUGUGUAACCCUAGCCACCUCCGGUGUCUAUAUAAACCAGAGGGUUUAGUCCGUAGGACAAUAACAAUCAUAAUCAUAGGCUAGCUUCUAGGGUUUGGCCUCUACGAUCUCGUGGUAGAUCAACUCUUGUAAUGCUCAUAUCAUCAAGAUCAAUCAAGCGGAAGUAGGGUAUUACCUCCAUAGAGAGAGCCCGAACCUGGGUAAACAUUCUGUCCCCCGCCUCCUGUUACCAUUAGCCUUAGACGCACAGUUCGGGACCCCCUACCCGAGAUCCGCCGGUUUUGACACCGACAGGGAACCUAAAACUUUUCAAAAAGGAAAGUGAAAGUGAGAGGGACAAGCAUUGUUGAAGUGGGAGAGCUCCUUGAACUUUGUUCAUACUCGCGGAAACUUUGUGAAUCUUAAUUACAGAAACUUUUCAUCAAAAAUAAUUAUCCCCUUGUACAAUUCCAUUGUAUUAUAAAAAUAAUGUGCCAAGGUUUGCCUUUAGGAUAUUUACAAUGCUUGUUGUUUUGUACGGUGCAUGAUAGAAUCUUUGGCUGUAGUGCACGAUCUUAAAUUUUUUACUGGAACGUCAAACGGUUCCGAAAUUUGUUGCACUGUCUUGCUGUACAAAUUGUUUAUUUUUCAGAAUUUUGGUAGAAUUUUUGGGGUAUCAUAAGUAUGGUGAAUGUUCAGAUUGCUACAGACUGUUCUGUUUUUGACAGAUUCUGUUUUUGAUGCAUAGUUUACUUGUUUUGAUGAAACUAUCAAUUUCUAUCAGUGGAUUGAGACAUGAAAAAGUUAUACUAAAGUAUAUACAAUGAAAAAAAAUAUUAAUUGGUUUGCAACAGUACUUAGAGUGGUGAUUUGCUUUAUUAUACUAAGGGAUCUUACUGAGUUUUCUGUUGAUGUUUUGUGUGGAUGAAGUGUUUUAUCGAGAAGGUCUCGAUAUGAGGAAAAGGAGGAGAGUCAAGAGCUCAAACUUGAGGAUGCACAAGGCACCCCAAGUAAAUAUUAAAGGAGACUCAAGCAUCUAAGCUUCGGGAUGCCCUGGAAGGCACCCCCUCUUUGUUCAACAAGUAUCGGUAUGUUUUCGGAUUCGUUUCAUUCAUGCGAUAUGUGCAAGUCUUGGAGCGUCUUUUGCAUUUAGUUUUCACUUUUAUUUUAUGCACCAUGCUUGUAUGAGAUAGUACUUGGUUGAUUUAUAGAAUGCUCUUUGCACCUCACUUAAAUCUUUUUAGUAUGGCUUUAUAGAAUGCCUCAUGUGCUUCACUUAUAUCAUUUGAAGUUUGGAUUGCCUGUUUCUCUUCACAUAGAAAACCGCCAUUUGUAGAAUGCUCUUUUGCUUCACUUAUAUUUGUUAGAGCAUGGGCAUACCUUUGUAGAAAGAAUUAAACUCUCAUCCAUUUAGAGAGAUGACAGGAAUUGGUCAAUCACAUGGUUAGUCAAAAAAUCCUACAUAAACUUGUAGAUCACUGAAUAUGAUAUGUUUGAUUCCUUGCAACCGUUUUGCAAUAUAAAGGUGGUGAUACUAGAGUCAUGCUAGUGGGUGACUGUGGAUUAGUAGAAAUACUUGUGUUGAGGUUUGUGAUUCCCGAAGCAUGCAUGUAUGGUGAACCAUUAUGUGAUGAAGUCAGAGCAUGAUUUUUUUAUUGUCAUCUUUUGUGUGGAGGUCGGGAUCGCGCGAUGGUUAACUCCUACCAACCCUUCCCCUAGGAGCAUGCGUGUAGUACUUUGUUUUGAUGGCUAAUAAAUUUUUGCAAUAACUAUGUGAGUUCUUUAUGACUAAUGUUGAGUCCAUGGAUUAUACGCACUCUCACCCUUCCAUUAUUGCUAGCAUCUUCGAUACUGUGCAUUCCCCUUUCUCACCUCGUGAGUUGGUGCAAACUUCGCCAGUGCAUCCAAACCCCGUGAUACGAUACUCUCUAUCACACAUAAGCCUCCUUAUAUCUUCCUCAAAACAGCCACCAUACCUACCUAUUAUGGCAUUUCCAUAGCCAUUCCGAGAUAUAUUGCCAUGCAACUUCCAUCAUCAUCAUAUACAUGACUUGAGCAUUCAUUGUCAUAUUGCUUUGCAUGGUCGUAAGAUAGCUAGCAUGAUGUUUUCAUGGCUUGUCCGUUUUUUGAUAUCUUUGCUAUGCUAGAUCAUUGCACAUCCCUGUACACCACCGGAGGCAUUCAUAUAGAGUCGUAUCUUUGUUCUAGUAUCGAGUUGUAAUAUUGAGUUUUUUUGAAGGUGAACGACAGUGGGAGAGGCUCCCACUGACUUUUGUAUUACUCACAAAGGAACAGUUACAUGUGUGUUACAAUGGGUUUUUUGGGGGGGCCCGGCCAUGUAAACUAGCUACAACACUAGUGUCCCAAAUUUACAAUGUAACUAGACAGGAAAGGAUGAAGCUCCUGUCUACAAUUAUGGGUCGGCAACUCCAAGAGAUGCUUGAACCUAGCCAGCCACGCCUCGAAAGAAUGUUGAAUCCCUCUGAAGUGUUGGUUGUUUCUCUCCAUCCACAAACUCCAAGCAUCCAUCAGGAAGAUACCCAUGAAGAGAGGCUGCCUCCAGUUAUCCUUACCCCCAUGCAGCAAAGCUAAUUUGUUGACUCCCACCGGCCAAGCCAAUCCAACUCUACCCUAGCAAUGUUGACUAAAUGGGCACGUAAAGAAUAAAUGUUCAAUAGUCUCCUCGGGAGGGUUUUGCAGAACAUGCAUGUGUAAUUGCCCCCCGUGACGGCAAAAUGUCUACGCUUGAGCAUGUUUCUGGUAUUCAGACGAUCAACAAGGAUCAGCCACCCAAACAUUUUAAACUUGAUCGGGCUCUUGGCCUUCCAAAGCCAACCGAAUGCCUCAUCUGCGACAACCAGCUUGUAGCAGUGGUUAUAGUAUUUCUUGGAUGAGAAGCACCCGAGCGUGCAUUCCCAAACGUCACAACGGUCGUUGUCCACACACACUUGCAUUGAUCCCUGCUAGAUCUCUUUGAUCUCCUCUCUGGCCUAGAUCGAAAGAGGUAAGCUAAAGAUCAUGGCUGGGUCAGUUGCAGUAAGAACCUUAGCAAUGGAAUCAUCCUCAUUCAUGCAGAAGGAGAAAGCCCGCGGGUACACGUCCAUGAGUGGAGCAUCAUUACCACUAUCCAACCAGACAUCUUUCCAAAACAAAGAGCUAGAACCAUCCCCUGGGAUUACUUUUGUGAUCCCCUGAAAAACCCCACUGAGUUGCAUUACGUAUUUCCACCAGAAAGAGCCCACUGCGUCAGCUGCGUGCAGUAUUUUGUUCCUGUAGUAAGCGUCCCAAACCAACCUCACCCAGGUGACAUCAUCAUGAUUAUAAAAUUUGAACAGAUGCUUUAGGAGAAGGGCAACAUUCUGGGUUUUGAUAUCAAUGAUACCAAGGCCUCCACAUGGUUUUGGGCGGCAGACAAGUUCCCAGGCCGCGAGGGAAUUGUUUUUGACUCCAUCAUCAAAAAAUUUCGCCUAGAGACAAUACCAGCACAGUUUGUCAAGAUGUUCAACCACCUUUGGGUGCAAUUUGAUUGAGCACAUUGCAUAGAUCAACAUCGACGUCACAACAGAAUUGACCAGAGUCAGUUUAGCCACAGACGACAUCAGAGACAGCGCUGUGGAUGUCUUCCUCUCAACUGCAUGCACUAGCGGCAUGAGAUCAAGAAUGCUUGGCCUCGUCGUCCCCAUUGGGAGACCGAGGUAAGUGAACGGUAGGGAACAAACAGAACAUCCAAACACCGCUACCAACUCACAAGCAUGCUGGUGAUCAAUGUUAAUGGGUAUAAGAGUUGAUUUAUGGAAAUUGAUUUUCAGUCCAACCGAAGCAGCGUAGUCCUCCAAGAUAGACUUCAUAUGGGCAGCUUGUUCAGGACAUGUCUGCAUCACCAAAAUCGUGUCGUCAAUGUAUUGAACAACUGGGAAGUCAGCCUCACUAUCACGAGGGAGUGGAACAACAAGUCCUCGAGCGAAGGCAUCAUUAAUCGCUGCUUGGAGGAGGUCAGCCGCAAGGACAAAAAUUAGCGGUGAGAGAGGGUCACCCUGCCGUACACCACAUUUGCAUUGGAAUUUCCGACCAGGAACUCCAUUAAGGAGUACAGAAGAAACCCCCGAGCCAAAAAUCGUUUUCAUCCAUCCGAGCCAUUUGUCAUCAAAACCCAUGUGCUUCAUGAUCUCCAACAUGGGGGUGUGCUCAAUCGUGUCAAACGCCUUAGCAAAGUCGAGCUUGAGGAGGAUUAUCUCCCAUGAUGAGGUAUGGCAUUGAUGGAUAUAUUCAAACGACCACGCCAGGCAAUCUUAGAUUGCCUUCCCCUUAAUGAAACCGUACUGGUUUUUUGUGGAUGAUUUUGAGGAUGACUUUCUACAGCCGAUUAGCCAGGAUCUUUGUGACGACUUUCAAACAAUAAUUCAGUAAAGUGAUUGGUCUAUAAUCAUUCGCAGUUUCUGGAGAAGAGAUCCUUGGGAUCAAAGUGAUGUAACCCUCACUAAUGCUGGUGAUAUCUAGCCCUCCAGCAUGAAAAUCAUGGCACAUCUCAUAGAAAUCUGACUUGAUGAUCUGCCAGCAGCUUUUAAGAAAACAUCCAUUAAACCCAUCAGGGCCAGGAGCCCUGUCACUGGGCAUUUCCUUAAUUACAACAUCAAUCUCUUCAUUUGAGAAGGGUGCCAACAAUUGAUCAAGCCCCUCGAUCCAGCAAAUGAUUCUAGAAAGAUCAAAGCGCAUGUUUGUGGGUUUAGAAGAACCCAAAUGUUCUUUAUAGGUUUUGUACAACACCCCCUCCUUGCCAACAUGGUCAUGGAUUUCCACAUCAUCAUCUCGAAGCGCGGCAAUAGAAUUGUGUCUAUAUCUCUCAGUGGCCAGAGAUUGAAAGAGCUUGGUGUUUUCAUUAGCAAAUCUGAAAUACCUGAUCGUACGUAUUUUCCUCCAGUACUUGUUCUGAUACUUGAGCAGUGUCUGCAAGUGAAGUUUCAAAAUCCUCCUGAAGUUUGACUCCUGAAUAAAUAGAGGUCUUUUGUCCUUGAGAUUAUCCAUCAUAACUAAACUUUCAUUAAUGUUCUGGAUUAUAAUUUUCAGCUUUGAGAUACCUCUGCUCCAUCUCUUGAGAUCAUAUCCCAGUGUUUUAAGUUUUUUACAAAUGCGGGCAGCAGAGUUCGGGCCAUGGCAUGCCUUGGACCAAGAGUCAGCAACCACAUCAGUAAACCCUUCGUGGUUAAACCAAAAAUUCUCAAAGCGGAAAAGCUUGGACUUGGGGAUAUUAGAUUCAAUUGCAACCUCACACGGGAUAUGAUGAGACACCGGUUUACCCAAUGGCAGAACCAUCGUGUUUGGGAAGGAGGUGGUCCAACAAGAGGAAGAGAAGAACCAAUCGAGCUGCUCGAGCAAGGGGUCAUCUUGCAUGUUGCUCCAGGUAUAUGUUCUGCCCUUCACAGGUAGCUCCAUCGGGUACUGCGCUCGAAUGAUUUCAUUAAACAACAACAUGUCCACAGCGUCACCCCCAGGCUUGUUUCUAUUAUUCAUGGAGCGGAUGAAAUUAAAAUCUCCUAGGAUCAACCAAUUUUCAUCAUCAGGUAUAUUCAGGUGAAAUAACCAGUUAGUAGAAUCCACCCGACGCUGACCAGAGCAUGAACCAUAGACAUUGAUCAAUUUACAAGUUUCACUGGACUGAGUAGCAACAAAAGAGACACCCACAGCAAACGGGUCAACAUACCAAGGCAUGCCCACAAACACAGAACUAUUCCAUAUUAUGAUAAGACCACCUGAGGCACCCACUGACGGUGAAAACACAAAUUUAUCGAAACGCUUGGGGCAGAAAGUUUUAAUAAACGCUAAAUCAAAAGAUUCACGCUUAGUUUCUUGGAUACACAGCACAAAACAACUGCUAGUAUCAAUAGCAUUCCUAAGAACAAAAAGUUUAACAUCAGAGUUGAUGCCUCUGAUAUUCCAUGAUAGCACAUUCCACAAUUUAUUCAUGAGCAAGAGAGAGUUCAGUCGCCGGCUCCAGGGGACGAGCGUUGAUCAUCCAGUAGCUUCUCGGGAGAGAGAACAUCCUGUGCAAUCCCACAGCGGCUGCCCAUCUUUUGAAGAUCUUGAAUCGACGUAGGAGGGGGACAAGCAUCAGUCAUAACCUACACGAGGGCAGCAGCCAAAGAAACAGCUAUGACAAAAGAAGUCUCGCGGGGUUUCACCCGUGACUUGGAGCGCUUGGUCUCAGUAACAUGAUUGAUCUUGAAGCCAUCAUAUUUGUUAGAUCUAGUGCUUCUUCUGACAGUGGUGGUAUCAAGUGGCAGUAGAACAUUGCGGGGAUGUGGAGCAUUAUAAUUAAAGAUAUGAAGAAGCAAUCACCUGAAGAGCAGUACCUUGAUCUGACUGUGGCACUGACUGAAAUUCUACAUCUUCAGAGACAAGUUGUGGGAUCGCCUUGAGACCAGGAGAGCGAGCAACCAUCUCCCAAUUAGCAUUGAUCAAUUCAAACAUGGGCUCGAAAAACUCAUGCAGUAGUGACGACGGGACGAUGGCAGCACCCAACUAAAAGGUUGAGCUGAAAACAGCCGACAGAACAUCAAACUCUGGGACCAUGCCUUCAAGCCAGGCAGCAGUGGCAGCAUUCAGUUGGUUUUGGAGGAACUUGAACGGAUUGAGAGGUAGCAUAACAACCACGGAUUGCUGGAAAGUGUGGGCUGGCAUGUAUACGCUCUUAAGCAUCCUCCCCAUCCAAAGCAACAGCUCAUGAUCAACAGCCACAAAAAAAUUAACUGAAUCUCCUCCUGCUCUGACGAACGCUAGUCUUGCAGCAGGAUUCCCAAGCAGAAAACCAUCAGCCAGCGCUUCCACCGCCUGAAACUCUAUAUCAAAAUACCAAAUAUCAAACAAAUUGUCCUGUACAUUGUGCUCCGGGUCCACACCAUCCAUCAGGGACGGCCCGUCAUACUGAAAGAAUGUUCUGAAACUGAAUCCUAUGUACGGCGGAGGAACCACAGGCCACAUGCGCCAACCAUUUUCCUGAAUAUGUUCCUGAGCAGGUUCUGGAGCAUUCCAUGCCUCUUCAUUCAGAGCAGCUUGUGCAUCCAUCUCAUCAAUUCUUGCUUGCUGCAUGAGGGUGUAGUAUGGAAGCUCAUAUCGGUGGGGUGAGGCAUUCAGAAGGGGAGGAGCAUCCUCAUUGCCAAUUAAAUUGGGAAUUGUAUUUCUGCCAUUCAGCACAUACACAGGGACAGACCAAGAACGAGCAAGACCUGGCAGCAAACCAACCCUGGUAAUCAAAAGACUGUGCGGCACCUCAGCAACAUCCUUAAUAUGACACUUAACCAGAACUCUAGCUUUUUUGUGGCCCGGGCGUGGCCAGACAAGAAGCUUUCCAAAGUUAUGGAUAGCCUUAUGAAUAUAGUGUUCAGUCUGAUAGUCCAUUGGGUUGUAAGUAAAUAAAAGUGUGAUGAUCAUCAUUAUUAGAGCAUUGCCCCAGUGAGGAAAGGAUGAUGGAGACUAUGAUUCCCCCACAAGUCGGGAUGAGACUCCGAACUUAAUGAAAAAAAAGGAGAGGCCAAAGAAGCCUAAACAUAAAAGGAGGCCAAAGAAGCCAAUCUAAAAAAAUGAGAGAAAAAGAGAGAAGGGUAAUGUUACUAUCCUUUUACCACACUUGUGCUUCAGAGUAGCACCAUGUUCUUCAUAUAGAGAGUCUCCUAUAUUGUCACUUUCAUAUACUAGUGGGAAUUUUCAUUAUAGAACUUGGCUUGUAUAUUCCGAUGAUGGGCUUCCUCAAACGCCCGAGGCCUUCGUGAGAAAGCAAGUUGGAUGCACACCCACUUAGUUUCUAGUUUGAGCUUUCGUACACUUAUAGCUCUUAGUGCAUCUGUUGCAUGGCAAUCGCUACUCCUCACAUUGACAUCAAUUGAUGGGCAUCUCCAUAGCCCGUUGAUUAGCCGCAUCGAUGUGAGAUUUUCUCCUUUGUGUCUUCUCCACAUAACCUCCACCAUCAUAUUCUAUUCCACCUAUAGUGUUAUAUCCAUGGCUCAUGCUCAUGUAUUGCGUGAAAGUUGAAAAAGUUUGAGAAUACUAAAGUAUGAAACAAUUGCUUGGCUAAAACCGGGGUUGUGCAUGAUUUAAAUACUUUGUGUGGUGAAGAUGGAGCAUAGCUAGACUAUAUGAUUUUGUAGGGAUAACUUUCUUUGGCCAUGUUAUUUUGAAAAGACAUGAUUGCUUUAUUAGUAUGCUUGAAGUAUUAUCGUCUUAAUGUCAAAUGAUAGACUAUUGCCUUGAAUCACUCGUGUCUUCAUAUUCAUCCCAUGAUUAGAUUUAUGAUCAAGAUUAUGCUAGGUAGCAUUCCACAUCAAAAAUUAUCUUUUUUUGUCAUUUACCUACUGGAGGACGAGCAAGAAUUAAGCUUGGGGAUGCUGAUACGUCUCCGUCGUAUCUAUAAUUUUUUAUUGUUCCAUGCCAAUAUUCUACAACUUUCAUAUACUUUUGGCAACUUUUUAUUCUAUUUUUGGGACUAACAUAUUGAUCCAGUGCCCAGUGUCAGUUCCUGUUUGUUGCAUGUUUUAUGUUUCAUAGAAACCCCAUAUCAAACGGAGCCAAACAGGGUAAAAACGGAUGGAGAAUAUUUUUGGAAUAUUUAUGAUUUUUGGGAAGAAAAAUCAACGUGAGACAGUGCCCGAGGGGGCCACGACGCAGGGGGCGCACCCCUGACCCUCGUGGGCACCCCAUAAGGCGGUUGUUGCUCUUCUUUUGCCGCAAGAAAGCUAAUUUUUGGAGAAAAAUCUUGGCGAGGAUUUCAAUCCAAUCGGAUUUAUGGAUCUCCGGAUAAGAAACGGUGAAAGGGCAGAACACCAGAACGCAGAAACAGAGAGACAGAUCCAAUCUCGGAGGGGCUGUCGCCCCUCCCACGCCAUGGGAGCCAAGGACUAGAGGGGAAACCCUUCUCCCAUCUAGGGAGAAGGUCAUGGAAGAAGAGAAUAAGGGGGGCUCUCUCCCCCUCGCUUCCGGUGGCGCCAGAGCGCCGCAGGGGCCAUCAUCAUCACUGCGAUCUAGACCAACAACUUCACCGCUUUCAUCACCAACUCUUCCCUCCUCUAUGCAGCGGUGUAACCCCUCUUUUACCCGCUGUAAUCUCUACUUAAACAUGGUGCUCAACACUAUAUAUUAUUUCCCAAUGAUGUAUGGCUAUCUUAUGAUGUUUGAGUAGAUCCGUUUUGUCCUAUGGGUUAAUUGAUGAUCAUGAUUAGUUUGAGUUGCAUGUUUUAUUAUUGGUGUUGUCCUAUUGUGCCCUCCGUGUCGCGCAAGCGUGAGGGAUUCCUGCUGUAGGGUGUUGCAAUAUGUUCAUGAUUCGCUUAUAGUGGGUUGCUUGAGUGACAGAAGCAUAAACCCGAGUAAGGGGGUUAUGGCGAAUGGGAUAAAGGGGACUUUAUGCUUUAAUGCUAUGGUUGGGUUUUACCUUAAUGAUCUUUAGUAGUUGUGGAUGCUUGCUAGAGUUCCAAUCAUAAGUGCAUAUGAUCGAAGAGAGAAAGUAUGUUAGCUUAUGCCUCUCCCUCAAAUAAAAUUGCAAUAGUGAUUACCGGUCUAGUUAUCGAUUGCCUAGGGACAAAUAACUUUCUUGUGACAAAAAGCUCUCUACUAAAACUAACUUAGUUGUGUCUUCAUCUAAACAGCCCCUACUUUUUAUUUACGUGCCCUUUAUUAUCUUGCAAACCUAUCCUAUCACACCUGCAAAGUACUUCUAGUUUCAUACUUGUUCUAGGUAAAGCGAACGUCAAGCGUGCGUAGAGUUGUAUUGGUGGUCGAUAGAACUUGAGAGAAUAUUUGUUCUACCUUUAGCUCCUCGUUGGGUUCGACACUCUUACUUAUCGAAAGAGGCUACAAUUGAUCCCCUAUACUUGUGGGUUAUCAAUACGUGUUUGUCACAGUAGGUCACAUUUACGUGAGAAUAUGAUAAUAAUGUUUCACUACAAAAAAAUACACUUCCGUGAUGAUUCAUGUUUGUCACAGUAGGUCACAUUUUUUGUCAUGCAUGUACAUCUAUGACGAUUUUAUGACAGAAUCAAGAUAGUCAUACAUGUGCUGUCGUAGAAGUGUUCCAUGAAAAUACUCAAAUUAUCAUCACGGAAGUGUCCACUUCCAUGAUGAUAAAUGGCGUUUCAUGGAAGUGCUUUCGUCAGGGGUAACGACUUGUGGCAUCCACCACACGGGAUACCCGUAAAGCUAUUGGUUCCGAUUUUGGAUCCGAUAACCCGUUAACAGCAAUGACCAAUGGCAAUUUUCCACCUGUAAAAGUCUCAUUAGCCGAAUGAACCACGUGUCAACAUCGCGUUAGGAUAAAUGUCAUCCAGAGAAUGGAUGGGACACGCCUAUGAUACGUUGAUACGUGGCUCGGCCCAAUAGUGGCCCAUUCAGGUUAAAAGGCCGGCCCAUUUGACUUGGUCAAAAGGUAGCGGGUCGGCUACUACUUCUUGAGCUCGCGUUGCUUUUCCCAUGAAGAGGAAAGGGUGAUGCAACACAGUAGAGAUAAGUAUUUCCCUCAGUUAAGAACCAAUGUAUCAAUCCAGUAGCAGAAGAAUGCACAAAUCACCAAUACCUACACAAACAAUCAAACACUUGCACCCAACCCGAUAAAGGGGUCGUCAAUCCCUUAACGGUCACUUGUAAAGGUGAGAUCUGAUAGAGAUAAAUAAAUAAAAACUAAACAAAAGAUAACUAAAUAUUUUUGGGUUUUUUGGUUUAUAGAUCUAAAAAUAAAAGAUUGCAAAAUAGUAGAUCGGAAACUAAUAUGAUGGAAAAUAGACCCGGGGGGCAUAGGUUUUACUAUAGGCUCCUCUCUUGAAGGCCAAUAUUACGGUGGGUGAACAAAUUACUGUCGAGCAAUUGAUAGAAAAUCGCAAAGUUAUGACGAUAUCCAAGGCAAUGAUUAUGUAAUAUAGGCAUCACGUCCAUGUCAAGUAGACUGACUCCUGCGUGCAUCUACUACUAUUACUCCACACAUCAACCGACUCUUGCCUGCAUCUAGAGUAUUACGUUCAUGAAGAACAGAGUAACACUUUAAGUAAGAUGACAUGAUGUAGAGGAAUAAACUCAAGAAAUAUAAUGUAAACUCCAUAUUUUUAUCCACGAUGGCAACAAUACAAUACGUGCCUCGCUAACACUACUGCAGGAUGCUGCUAACGCGACACUACGAUCAGAGACCCUUUGAUGAAACUGUGUGUGAUGCAUUAAUCGCAAACGGUGGUGUAAAAAAUGUCAAAAAGGGUGCAAAACAUUUGCGAUGACAGCUGCAUCAAACACGGUUCAUAUUUUAGUUUCGUGUGUGAUGUAGGGCAUACAGUUUAGUGCAAUUAACCAUUUGCAAUGCAGAGCAACAAAAUAAACAGGUAGCCAGAUAAAGGUGCGUGAGAUAAAGAGCAUACGGUUCACUAGGAUGAACUGUUUGUGAUUAGGCAACAAAAAAGAAACAGUCAACUGCUACGUCUUGAGCUUGCGUUGGUUUUCCUUGAAGAGGAAAGGGUGAUGCAGCAAUAGUAGCGUAACUAUUUCCCUCAAUUUUUGAGAACCAAGGUAUCAAUCCAGUAGGAGGCUCCUCAAAAGUCCCACGCACCUACACAAACAAACAAGAACUCGCAACCAACACAAUAAAGGGGUUGUCAAUCCCUUACAGCCACUUGCAAAAGUGAGAUCUGAUAGAGAUAGUAUGAUAAGAUAAAUAUAUUUUUGGUAUUUUAUGAUAUAGAUUGGAAAAGUAAAGAUGCAAAUAAAAGUAGAUUGAAAACUUAUAUGAUAAAAGAUAGACCCGGGGGCCAUAGGUUUCACUAGUGGCUUCUCUCAAGAUAGCAUAAGUAUUACGGUGGGUGAACAAAUUACUGUCGAGCAAUUGAUAGAAAAGCGAAUAAUUAUGAGAUUAUCUAGGCAUGAUCAUGUAUAUAGGCAUCACGUCUGUGACAACUAGACCGACUCCUGCCUGCAUCUACUACUAGAAAUCUACACAUCGACCACUAUCCAGCAUGAAUCUAGAGUAUUAAGUUCAUAAAGAACAGAGUAACACAUUAAGAAAGAUGACAUGAUGUAGAGGGAUAAACUCAUGCAAUAUGAUAUAAACCCCAUAUUUUUAUCCUCGAUGGCAACAAUACAAUACGUGCCUUACUACCCCUGCUGUCACUGGGAAAGGACACCGCAAGAUUGAACCCAAAGCUAAGCACUUCUCCCAUUGCAAGAAAGAUCAAUCUAGUAGGCCAAACCAAACUAAUAAUUCGAAGAGACUUGCAAGGAUAAGUUAAUCACACGUAAAAGAAUUCAGAGGAGAUUCAAAUAUUUCUCAUAGAUAAACUUGAUCAUAAACCUACAAUUCAUUGGAUCUCGACAAACACACCGCAAAAAGAGUUACAUCGAAUAGAUCUCCAAGAAGAUCAAGGAGAACAUGGUAUUGAGAUCCAAAGAGAGAGAAGAAGCCAUCUAGCUAAUAACUAUGGACCCGAAGGUCUGUGGCAAACUACUCACGACUCAUAGGAGAGGCCUUGGAGUUGAUGUAGAGACCCUCCAUGGUUGAUUCCCCCUCCGGCGGAGCGCCGGCGAAGGCUCCAAGACGGGAUCUCGCGGAUACAAAAGGUUAUGGUGGUGGAAAUAGUUUUUCGUGGUCACCUCUGAUGUUCUCGGGGUACGUGGGUAUAUAUAGGAGGAAGAAGUAGGUCGGUGGACGCUCGAGGGGGGCGCGUCCUCCACCCUCAUGGCCUCCUCGAUUGCUUCUUGACUUGCACUCCAAGUCCUUUGGAUCACGUUUGUUCCAAAAAGAUCGCUCCCGAAGGUUUCAUUCCGUUUGGAAUCCGUUUGGUAUUCCUUUUCUUUGAAACACUGAAAUAGGCAAAAAACAGCAAUACAGGCUGGCCCUCCGGUUAGUAGGUUAGUCACAAGAAUGAUAUAAAAGUGUAAAGUAAAGCCCAUAAACAUCCAAAACGGGUAAUAUAAUAGCAUGAAAUAAUAAAAAAUUAUAGAUACGUUGGAGACGUAUCAAGCAUCCCCAAGCUUAAUUCCUGCUCGUCCUCGAGUAGGUAAAUGAUAAAAAUAGAAUUUUUUAUGUGGAAUGCUACCUAGCAUAAUUCUCAAUGUAAUUCUAUUUAUUGUGGCAUGAUUGUUCAGAUCCAAAUGAUUCAAGAUAAAAGCUUAUAAAACAUAAAGAAUAGUAAUACUUCGAAGCAUACUAACAAAUAAUCAUGUCCUAUCAAAAUAAAAUAGCCAAAGAAAGCUUAUCCCUACAAAAUCAUAUAGUCAGGCCAUGCUUCAUUUUAUUACAGAAAAUACUCCCAUCAUGCACAACCCCGAUUUCAGCCAAGCAAUUGGUUCAUACUUUUUAAUGCGCUUCAGCUUUUUCAACUCUUACGCAGUACAUGAGCGCAAGCCAUGGACAUAGCACUAUGGUGGUAUAUGGUGGUGGUUGUGAGGACAAAAAGGGAGAAUAUAGUCUCACAUCAACUAGGCGUAUCAACGUGCUAUGGAGAUGCCCAUCAAUAGAUAUCAAUGUGAGUGAGUAGGGAUUGCCAUGCAACGAAUGCACUAGAGCUAUAAAUGUAUGAAAGCUCAACAAAAGAAACUAAGUGGGUGUGCAUCCAACUCGCUUGCUCACAAAGACCUAGGGCAUUUUGAGGAAGCCCAUCAUUGGAAUAUACAAGCCAAGUUCUAUAAUGAAAAAUUCCCACUUAGUAUAUGAAAGUGACAACAUAGGAGACUCUCUAUCAUGAAGAUCAUGGUGCUAUUUCGAAGCACAAGUGUGGAAAAGAGAUAGUAGCAUUGUCCCUUCUCUCUUUUUCUCUCAUUUUUUAAAUUUUUUUUUAAUUUUAUUUGGCCUUUCUCCUUUUUUUAUUUGGCCUUUCUCUUCUUUUUUAUGGUGGGCUCUUUGGCCUCUUUUUUUUCUUUUUUUUUAAAGUCCGAAGUCUCAUCCCGACUUGUGGGGGAAUCAUAGUCUUCAUCAUCCUUUCCUCACUUGGGACAAUGCUCUAGUAAUGAAGAUCAUCACACUUUUAUUAAUUUACAACUCGGGAAUUACAACUCAACACUUAGAACAAAAUAUGACUCUAUAUGAAUGCCUUCGGCGGUGUAUCGGGAUAUGCAAUGAAUCAAGAGUGACAUGUAUGAAAUUUAUGAAGGUGACCUUGCUACAAAUACAAUGUCAACUACAUGAUCAUGCAAAGAGCAAUAUGACAAUGAUGGAGCGUGUCAUAAUAACAGAACAGUGGAAAGUUGCAUGGCAAUAUAUCUCGGAAUGGCUAUGGAAAUGCCAUAAUAGGUAGGUAUGGUGGCUGUUUUGAGGAAGGUAAGUAAUGGGUGCAUGAUACCAACGAAAGUUGCACGGUAUAAUAGAGACUAGCAAAGUGGAAGGGUAAGUGUGCGUAUAUCCAUGGACUCACAUUAGUCAUAAAGAACUCAUAUACUUAUGGCAAAAGUCUACUUGCCCUCGAAGCAAAGUACUACUACGCAUGCUCCUAGGGGAAGGGUUGGUAGGAGUUAACCAUCGCGCGAUCCUGACCUCCACUCAUAAGGAAGACAAUCAAAAGAGCACCUCAUGCAACAAAUUUGUCACAUAACUUUUACCAUACGUGCAUGCUACGGGGCUUGCCAACUUCAACACAAGUAUUUCUCAAUUUCAUAAUUACCCACUAGCAUGACUCUAAUAUUACCACCUCUAUAUCUCAAAGCAAUUAUCAAGCAUCAAAUUGAUCCUAGUGUUUUAUGCACUUUCUAUGAUAGUUUUUAUUAUACCCAACUUGGAUGCUCAUCAUUCUAGGACCAAAUUUAUAACCAUAGAAAAUACCAUGUUGUUCUAAAAGACUCUCAAAAUAAUAUAAGUGAAGCACGAGAGAUCAAUAAUUUCUUCAAAAUUAAUCCACCGCCGUGCUCUGAAAGAUAUAAGUGAAGCACUAGAGCAAAAACUAUCUAGCUCAAAAAGAUAUAAGUGAAGCACUAGAGCAAAAACUAUCUACCUCAAAAGAUAUAAGUGAAGCACAUAGCGUAUUCUAAUAAAUUCUAAUCAAGUGGGAUUCUCCCAAAAGGUGUGUACAGCAAGGAUGAUUUUGUAAAACUAAAAAGAAAAGACUAAUAUCAUACAAGACGCUCCAAGCAAAACACAUAUCAUCUGGCGAAUAAAAAUAUAGCUCCAAGUAAAGUUACUGAUAAACGAAGACAAAAGAGGGGAUGCCUUCCGGGGGAAUCCCCAAGCUUAGGAUUUUGGCUAUUCUUGAAUAUCUUGGGGUGCCUUGGGCAUCCCCAAGCUCAGGCUCUUGCCACUCCUUAUUCCAUAGUCCAUCAAAUCUUUACCCAAAACAUGAAAACUUCAUAACACAAAACUCAACAGGAAAUCUCAUAAGCUCCGUUAGUGAAAGAAAGAAAAACCAUCACAUAAGGUACUGUAAUGAACUCAUUCUUUAUUUAUAGUUGUGUUAAACCUACUGUAUUUCAACUUCUCUAUGGUUCAUACCCUUACAUACUAACAUAGAUGCAUCAAAAUAAGCAAACAACACGCGAAAGGCAGAAUCUGUCAAAAACGGAACAGUCUGUAUCAACCUGUAACUCUUGAAUACUUAUGGAAAAUCCUACCAAAAUAGGACGUCCUGGGAAAUUUUUCUAUUGAUCUACAGCAAAAAGAAUCAAUGCAAAAUCACGUUCCUGUGAAUUACUAAUAUUAUUUUUGUGCGCGCAAAGUUUCUGUUUUUUCAGCAGAAUCAAAUAAAUUAUCACCAUAUGUUAUCCUAUAGGUUCUACUUAGCACAAACACUAAUUAAAACAUAAAAACACAUCUAAAAAGAAGGUAGAUGCAAAAUUUAUUACUAAAUAGAAACAAAAACAAAAAACACAAAUAAAAUUGGGUUGCCUCCCAACUAGCGCUAACGUUAACGCCCCUAGCUAGGCAUAAAAGCGAGGAUAGAUCUAAGUAGUGCCAUCUUUGGCACUCAAUUCAUAAGUAGCUCGCAUGAUAGAUUCAUAAGGUAAUUUAAAUUUCUUUCUUGGAAAGUGCUCCAUGCCUUUCCUUAAUGGAAAUUGGAAUCUUAUAUUCCCUUCCUUCAUAUCAAUAAUCACACCAAUCGUUCUAAGGAAAGGUCUACCAAGAAUAAUAGGGCAAGAAAGAUUGCAAUCUAUAUCAAGAACGAUAAAAUCUAUGGGCACCAAAUCUCUAUUUUCAACAAUGAGAACAUCAUUGAUCCUCCCCAUUGGCUUUUUAAUGGUGGAAUUCGCAAGGUGCAAAUUUAAAGAGCAAUCAUCAAGAUCAUGGAAACCUAGAAUAUCACAUAAAGUUUUCGGAAUCAUGGAAACACUAGCACCCAAAUCAUAUAAAGCAUAACACUCAUGAACUUUAAUUUUAAUCUUUAUAGUAGGUUCCCACUCAUCAUAAAGUUUUCUAGGUUUAGAAACUUCCAAAUUAAGUUUUUCAUCAAAAGAUUGCAUCAAGGCAUCAAUGAUAUGUUUGGUAAAAGCUUUAUUUUAACUAUAAGCAUGAGGAGAAUUCACAACGGAUUGCAACAAGGAAAUACAAUCUUCUAAAUAACAAUUAUCAUAAUUAAAUUCCUUGAAAUCCAAGAUAGUGGGUUCAAUGCUAUUUAAAGUCUUGACCUCUCCAAUCCCACUUUUACCAAAUUUAGCAUCAAGAUCUAAAAACUCUGAAUCAUUGGGACGCCUUUUAACUAAAGUUGACUCAUCUCCAGUCCUAUCAUUAUAAAGAUUCAUAUUGCAAAACAAAGAUCUAAUAUGGGACACAUCAAUAACUUUAAGAUCCUCAUCAUUAUUUUCAUGGAAACUGGAAGAACACGCCUUUAUAAAGCAAUCUUUCUUAGCACGCAAUUUAGUGGAUCUUUCUUUGCACUCAUCAAUGGAAAUUCUCAUAGCUUUGAGAGACUCAUUGAUAUCAUGCUUAGGAGGAAUAGAUCUAAGUUUCAAAGAAUCAACAUCAAGCGAGAGUCUAUCAACGUUCCUAGCCAAAUCAUCAACUUUGAGCAAUUUUUCUUCAAGGAAGGCAUUAAAAUUCUUUUGAGAGAUCAUAAAUUAUUUCACACUAAUAUCAAAAUCAGAGGGCACCUUAUUAAAAUUACCAUAAGAAUUAUUGUAGGAAUUUCCAUAAUUAUUAGAGGAAUUACUAGGGAACAGUCUAGGAUUAAAGUUUCCUCUAUAAGCAUUGUUUCCAAAAUUAUUCCUACCAACAAAAUUCACAUCCAUAGAUUCAUUAUUAUUUUCAAUCAAAGUAGACAAAGGCAUAUCAUUGGGAUCAAUAGGAGCACUCUUAGUAGCAAACAAUUUCAUAAGUUCAUCCAUCUAUCCACUCAAUACAUUAUUUUCUUCUAUAGCAUGCACUUGUUUACUAGUAGAUCUUUCGGUGUGCCAUUGAGAAUAAUUAGCCAUAAUAUUAUCAAGGAGUUUUGUAGCUUCUCCUUAGCUGAUUUCCAUAAACGUGCCUCCCGCGGCCGAAUAUAAAAGAUUUCUAGAGGCAAAAUUCAAUCCGGCAUAAAUUUUUUGUAUGAUCAUGCAUAAAUUCAAACCAUGAGUAGGGCAAUUGCGAAUCAUCGGUUUCAUUCUUUCCCAAGAUUGGGCAACAUGCUCAUGAUCAAGUUGUUUAAAAUUCAUAACAUCGUUCCUAAGAGUGAUGAUCUUAGCGGGAGGAGAAUACUUAGAGAUAAAAGCAUCUUUGCACUUGUUCCAUGAAUCAAUACUAUUCUUAGGCAAAGACAAAAACCAAACUUUAGCACGAUCUCUAAGUGAAAACGGAAAUAACUUCAAUUUAACAAUAUCAUUAUCCGUAUCUUUCUUCUUUUGCAACUCACACAAAUCAACAAAGUUGUUUAGAUAGGUAGCGGCAUCUUCACUAGGAAGGCCAGCGAAUUGAUCUUUCAUUAGACUCAACAUCAUUAAGAGGAGCAAUCAGAGUACUAAGGAAAUCAUUAUUAUUGGUAUUGGAGAAAUCACACAAUUUGGUAUUAUCUUGCGCCAUCGCGACAAGUAAUCCAACACACAAGAAAACGAAGAGGCAAACGAAAGAGAGAGAGGAGAUUGGGAAAGAGAGGGCGAAUAAAACGGCAAGGGUGAAGUGGGGGAGAGGAAAACGAGAGGCAAAUGGAAAAUAAUGUAAAUACGAGGGAGAUGAGUUUGUGAUGGGUACUUGGUAUGUCUUGACUUGAGCGAAGACCUCCCGGCAACGGCGCCAGAAAUCGCAUGUUGGCGGGAGGUCGAAUCUUGACUUGACUUGGUGGAAGCCUCCCCGGCAACAGUGCCAAAAAUCCUUCUUGCUACGUCUUGAGCUUGCGUUGGUUUUCCUUGAAGAGGAAAGAGUGAUGCAGUAAUAGUAGCGUAAGUAUUUCCCUCAGUUUUUGAGAAUGAAGGUAUCAAUCUAGUAGGAGGCUCCUCAAAAGUCCCACGCACCUACACAAACAAACAAGAACUCGCAACCAACGCAAUAAAGGGGUUGUCAAUCCCUUCACGGCCACUUGCGGAAGUGAGAUCUGAUAGAGAUAGUAUGAUAAGUGUUAGGACCCCGAUCCUAAGUCAUACCGAUCUAGCAUGUAACACCUCAAAUCACUUUGCGGCCUCACGCACUGUAUUCCCACGGGUGUCGCCUUACCAUGCCCGGGACCGUUUGCGCCUUUUGGCACACGUAUAUGAUAGUGUCGCUAGCAUCCAUAUGACAAAGAACCCGAGCUGACAUGGCUAGUCGUGAACCUGAAGUGGCACUAACUUAUAGGGACAGGCACACAUGACCCAGCAUCGAACGUGUCGGUCAUCAGCGAGUGAAUCCGGGCUGUAGCAACUGGGCUAGCAGGACUCCGGUAAACCGGGCUGUAGCAGGCUAACAGGACUCCGAUGGAAACCGCGUGACAUUUCCCUGAAGGGAUAGACACAGGAACGAAGAAGGACACAUGCCGGCCAGCCUAAGUGUUCCAGAGUAGUAGCAAGCUACCAGGGCUCAGUGGAAGCACUAGGAGACAUUUCCCGGUAAGAGAGACUACUAAGGAUAAACAACUAGUUAGUCAGAUCCCACACAUAGCAAUACACAUUACACGUAUGCAUAACAUGCAAGUAUGUGUUGUACAACAUGGCAUCACAACAUAACUCAACAACUCAUAUAGAUAAAGGCUCAGAAGAGCCAUCGUAGCAUUUAUUACAAGCAGGGCUCACAUGACCCAACAUUCAGAGCAGACAAGCAACAAGUGGAAGCAUUACAUGUUUGAGUACAAACACCUACAAAUGAAAAAGGCUGAAGAGUCUUACUAUCUACAACGUCCGAUCAAGAUUGUAGCUGAGGUACAAGCUACUUGUCGAAGCCCACGAGAACACUAGUAAGACCGAAGUCUCUGCUGCAAAAACAUAAAUAAAGCAACAUGAGUACAAAGGUACUCAAGAAGACUUACAUCAGAUCCUAGCAUACAUGCAUUUGUAUCAAGAGGAUAAUGUGGGGUUUAGUUGCAGCAAGCCAGCUUUGACUCAGUGGCUAUCAUGUUCUACGACUACGAGAACUUCUUUGAGGUGAGAUGGCGCACAUGAGUCCACUAAUCACCACACAAUACACUACUAUGGAUUCAUCCCCGUCUCCCUAUGAGAAGUCCAUCCAUAGCACUCACACUUGUCUUGAGCAUUUAAGAGUAUCCACUUCAAGUUGUCUAUGUACCAUGUAAGCAUCCAAGAAGUCCAUAACCGCGGACCCGGCUAUUCAAAUAGGUCAUGUUAACCCUGCAGGGGUGUACUUCUUCACACACGCUCUCGACACUUACCUCCAUGUACACGUCAUGUAUCUCGGCAACCUUCAAGCGGAAGCCUGGCGAGGGUGUCAGCCACGACCUGACUAACCACACAAGACUCUAGUCCAGGUUUAUCGCCUAUUUGGGUUCCAUCUGCAAGGAGAUCCGGCCGGGGUGUCGCUCACGGCCCCAAAUGAUGUGUGCAGGGUUCCCGAGCCCACCAUCCGGGUGCCACUCGGUACACCAGGCCACGUGUGCCUAGUCUGUCCCAAGCCCACCCUGCUGGGUGCCACUUGGUAGAAAAAUAGCACUACCUACAAACACCAGAAACUAGUUGCAACUCCUGGACAGAGAUCAAGUUGGUUAAUAAGUCGAGAAGGCUUGGAGCGCCCGGAGCCCAAUGUGUGGUAGUAUUGAGUCAUUGGACAACAUACAUAGAACUCAGUGCUUAAGGACGGUUCCAGUGAGACAACCCACCAUGUACUCCUACAUGGCCUCUCACCGCUACCUUUACCAAAUCGUGUUCACACACUUCACUCUCAGCAUCAGAACAUAUCAUAACACUCCAAUUCAUUCCCAAUGAAUCAGACCUGACACAACUCUAAGCAAUAGCAGGCAUAGCAUGGUAGGAACACAACAUGGCUCAAUCAACUCCUAUACAUGCUAGUGGGUUUCAACUAUUUACUGUGGCAAUGACAGGUCAUGCAGAGGAAUGGGUUCAACUACCGCAGCACAAAGUAGCAGAUGAAUCGUUGUUGUCCUAAUGCAAUAACUGAGAGCAGGAGCGAGAGAGUAGGAUUGUAUCAGAAUGAACAAGGGGGUUUACUUGCCUGGUAGAUCAACAAGGGGGCACUGCUCCUCAGACAGGUACUCUGGAACGGUCUCCGGAGCAGGACCUAUCGAGAAGGAACGGUGCCGGCAAUCAAUACACAAGCAUAUGCAACAAUAUGAUGCAUGAACAUGGCAUGUAGAUGUGAUGUUGUUUGAGAUAAUUCAGCUAGCAAUCAUUUGGUUGAAGUUCAUUUGAACCAAGAGUUCAAAUGCAAUUCCAAAUUAACUCUUUAUAAAUGCCAUUUACAUGUUUCACUUAUACAGCAUGUAUAAGUUGGUUUGUCAUGCAUGAAACUAGUACAGAUAGAAAGAUUGCAUUUUUCUGAUAAUUUUUCAUAUAUAAAUUAUCUCAAUCUGAGCUAUGGUUGAAUUUCUAUGAUUUUUUGAAGUUUGAAUCAUUUUUUGGAAUUUCCUAAUUAAUUUUAAAUCCAGAAAAUGAAUAACUGCGUCAGCGUGACGUCAGCGAGUCAACGGCCAGGUCCAGGUCAAACUUGACCAGUGGGACCCAUACGUCGGUGUCAUGGUUAAUUAACGGAGUUAAUUAAUUGUCAAGCUAAUCUUAAACUAAAACUUAGCAGGGUCAGGCCCCACAUGUCAGUGUCACAGGGGGGGUUAGUUAGCGGGGUUGACCCGGUCAAUUUGGCCGGCGUUUAGCCGCCGACGAGGCCGAAGGCAGCGGAGGGGCUCGGGAUCGUUGCUCCGGCGACCAUUUGGGUGGGGGAGACCACUCGCAAGGAGCCAACGCUCGUCCGCGUCAUCUAGAGCAAGUGGGGAAGGCGGGGACGGCCGGAGCUCGCCGGAGCGGAGCUCGGGGCGGCGGCCAGAGUUCGGGCGUGAGCGGGGAUGCGGCUGCGGUGUGCGAGGGCGAGAACGGAGAGGGGGAGAAGGAGCAGCAGCUCACCGCGGUUGCAGCGGGCGUCGAAUCAGGCUCAGGGGCGGCCGGACGGUGACGGGCGGGCGGUGGAGAUCCACGGUGGCCGGCGGCGAAGAAGACGACGGUGGCGAUGAUGGAGGCCGUCCGGAGGCGCGCGACUUGACGAGGAGGGAGAGGGGGUCGCGGAGGAGCUGUGGAGUGCGUCGGGGAGGCGCAGCAGUGGCCGAGGCCUCGGUGUCUGUGGACGACGGCGACGGCGGUCGCGGCCACGAGAGAGAGAGUGAGGGAGAGGAGAGGAGAGGACCGGGGGAGAGUGAGAGGGGUACGGGGCGGCGCGUGGCGUCGCGCGGGGCAUCCAUAGCGACGAGAGGGAGGACAAGUAGGCAGGGAGGGAGGAGGUGGCGCGGCGCAGCGGUGCGUGCGCAUCGGGCACGCGCCCGUCCUCCUGUCGGGGAGGAAGACGACAGAGGAGGGGGCUAGGUGGGCUGGGCUGGCCAACUGGGCCGGCCAGGCCGCGCAGUGCUGGGCCAGACGGCUGCAGGUAAGCGACAGGUAGGAUUUCCCAUUUGUUUUUCUUUUCUAUUUUCUAACAUUUGUUUUGAUUUAAUAAAAAUACUAAAUCAUUUUAUUUUCUUAUGCCAAUUUUUGCAGGAGCUAGUGGUAUUAUUCCAGAGCUCCUCAACAAAUGGCAUAAUUUUUGGACAUAUAUUAUACUAGUGGACCCGUUGCGCCAAAUGGCGCAGAGACCCGCUAAAGCCAUGUUGUCGAUGAAAAUAGUUUCAUUGUGCAAGGACAUAUUCGAUAUUGGUAGUGGAAAGCCCAUUUUAAACCAUGCUACAUGUUGCGCCAAAUGGCGCAGAGAUCCGCUGAAUCUAUGUGCGGAUUGAAAAGAAAACCCAUGGUUUAGUUGGUUUAGUUGUGGACAAGCACAUAUGGCAACAAAUUUAAUCACCUUUAAAUAAAAAACGGUGACUUGUUGUCUAAAAUGAGAUGUAUAUACACAUUUUAAUUUGGUACCACAGAGUCCCAUUCAAAUCGAUGAGAUGACCAGUUCCACCAAAUGGCACAGAGUCCCAUUUAAAACCAUGUGUGCUUUGAAAAUAUUUAGUAACUUUCGGUUUUAGCAAGCAAUAAGGGUAAGAAUUCCAACCCUUUUAUAUGAGAAAAUUAUGGAACACUACGUUUCAAAAUAUAUACUUGAUCAUGCAUAAUUUGUUGUGUUUUUUUGCAUGUUUCAAAAUAUACAAUUAUAUUUCCAAAUGGCACAAUAUACCAAUUCAAACCCGGAGUGUCUUCGCAUUUAUUUGCUUAUUUGAAGUUAUAGAAAUUAGUUAGAUGGAGGGUAUUAAGCAAUUGUAGCAUGGAACAGCUCUGUUGUCUACAUAUUGUGAUGAGGGUGGAUAUUUAUUUGCUUUUGUGUGUGCAAGGACUCUUAGUUUAACUACUUAGCCAUGCAAGUUUGCAUGAAACUAACUUAUAGGGUGUAAAAACAUCUCCGGUCCAAGAUUUUUUGAAUGUCUCCAAAACCAAGGGGCAAAAGAAACCACCACAUCAACAAUCAAAGAAUACAAAUGACAUGUUCAAUUCUUGGUUGAUGUGGCAUGAAUAGAUAGAUUUAUGUAAUUGGUUUUUCCCUUUCCUCUUAUGGCUCUCUUAAAUGGGUACUACAUAUCUGUUAUGGUGAAAAUAGAAGAAGAAAAUAUCAACCAAGCAUAUCUAAGAUACCACCAUGAUUCAUACACACGUGUUACAUCUGGAAUUGAAUGGAACCACUAAACUCUCAUGUUUCUCUCAAAGGGAACCUUCACUUCCUUCUCUAUGCUCUCACCAAUACCAUCACCAAGUUUCCUCACACCAACAUAUGAGUGGCAUCAUCAUACUCAUCACCAAGAUCAUCAUGUGAAUCAAUGGCAUCAUCAUACUCAUCGUCUGGAUCCCAACACCAAUACACUUGGCCUUAGGUAAAUAAGAAUUCUCUCAUACAAAUAGGCAGGUGACUGCCAAAAGCAAAAGCACGAAAAACGGUCCAGACGCAUGAAAAAAACAGAUCCGACGGCCGACGAAGGCCGAAUCGGAGGAGCCUUCUGGAGGUGAGUUGGCUAGCCUCAUUAUUGUUUUAAAUUUAUUAAUUUAUCACCACCUGAGGUGGAAUUAUCAUUCUCAUGCUUCAUGACAAAAUGACCCAUAAUUCUUUCUUGAACACCAUGGUAAAAGGCUAAUAAUGUUUAGGCUGAAAACUUGGUGGUGCAGUAAGAAAGAUCCUAAUUUUAGAUACACUACAUGUACAUUAAAAAUUAUUUUGAGAAGUUGAACUAAUAGUUUAAAAAUAUACUGACUAAUUACAUACCCCUACCUACGGAGCUGCAACCAACAAUCUCAAUUUUUUAGUGUAUACAUACAUGACGUGUCACAUUCAAAAUUGAGGUAUACUGCAGAUAACCCAUUACAUUCAUUAGUGUAUCAUAUUAGCAGGAAGUCCCCACCAGUCUACAGUUUCCUCAUGUAAAAAAAAUAGUGUGCCGUUUCCUUUUGCCAAAAGAUCGUCUAUUCCCCAUCUUUUUUUCAGAGUUAACAAGCGGUGGUAUCAAACAAGUGACAAAUAUAACAAUAUGUUACAAAUUUAACACCGAUCACACAUAAGCAUAUCUUGACUCAAACAUAGCAUCCAACAGUAGUUUAGUACACACUCGCCCAAAUCAAACUCUCAAGACAGGACAUAACAUUAAAGUUUGACAACACGCGACACUUAGUUCUCGGUACUUAAAUUCAGAAACAUGAAAUAACAAUGACAGGCAGUGUAAAGAGCAGUAUUGUUGCCAUCCCCCAAACUUCUAAACUUCAAGCUUCAUUGCUUCUGCUCCAACGACCAGCCAAAAUUAUUCAGAACCACAACCAAUAAAACAGAACGUCUAGAAUAUGAAAAUUAAUUCAAUUGAGUUGAUCAUAUGGGUAGAUAGAAUCAUAAAGGAGAUUAUUACAUUGAUUCGCAUCAGCAGGGUCAAUGUUAACAAGGAUUCUGGAUGUGUUAUUUGAUGAAUAAAACAAAAUCUACAUGUAUUUUGUACACCAAGUUUAUUACACUGAUUCAGAGCAGCAAGGUCCUAUAAAAACAGUGAAUUCAUGGUGUUCUAAUUGUGUAACUGAUAUCUAACUAAGAACUAUAUUCUCAUAUUACCAAGAUGAAUAAAAAAGAAAAGUCCAACUGAGAGGAGCUGCUUCUCAUAAAGAUCUAAACAAAUGCCAACCAACUUGAUGGUCCAUCCUAAAAGAUUCUACUUUUUCAUGAUAAGCAGGUUAAUCGUGCACAAAUAAGAUAACUGAUAUUCCAACAAAUGGCAGCUAGCUUUGAACUCCACAAGAUCUCUAGUUUUGGUUGCAAGGCUGUCACAAGAUCCCUGCAGUUUUAGUUUUGGUUUGGUUGCAAGGCUGUCAGACUCGUACUAAUUUCAGAAGUUCAGAUAUAGUAAAACUCUUACUAAUCCCAGAACAUCUGAACUGCACAAGAACCCUGUAGUUUUAGAUAAAACAAAGCACAACAGGACUAUCCCUGAAAAUGGAAUACAGAAGGGCCAUUUUCCGAAUGAUACAAGUACUAUGCUUCUUAUCAAAUUAGCUUGUAAGUUCUCAGUUCAUGUGGUAGAGAAAAGGUUAACUUAUCCUUUAUGGUACAUAUUGUAUAUGCAAUAGUCUCUAUACUUUAAUUUAAUAUUUAUCAAUCGUUAGAACAAAAGAUUCACAUCUAUUAUCUUCAUUUAUGUUUCAUAAUGGAUUGCAAACUAAGAGUCGUUAUAAAGUAUUUGUUGGUAUCAAAGAGGGAAAGUUGUACCACCAAUUAUCAAAAGCACUUAAAUGAGGUCACCAAGGUGGGAAGGGAGAGAGCGAGGGAGAGAGAGAGAGAGAGAUAUCGUUUUGUUGGGCUAACAGCAGGUUGAUGAUAGGUGGAGGCAUUGGGAUUCCAGGAAGCACCACCUCCCAGUACAUCUUUGGCAUCUCCACGGAGUUUGGCAUCCCCGCCGUGGCCGCAUCGGCGAAACUCGCAAGCCAGACUCUCUCUCCUCCAGUGAACUGCGUGCAUCAGAGAAUAGAUGGAUAAUUUUAAAAAACGAGAGCUUGGGUCUAUUUUACAUAACACAACUGUAACCUGUGAAUAGAAACAUGAUGACCCCAGGUUGCAAUCAAGGACCAGCAAAUUAUAAGAAUCUAAUAAAAUGAGUAAAAGAAAUUACAUAUUGACG
This 59366-nucleotide long non-coding RNA is filed under the name Triticum aestivum (bread wheat). Its description in RNAcentral is "long non-coding RNA (TAES_LNC007309)". Lineage: Eukaryota; Viridiplantae; Streptophyta; Magnoliopsida; Poales; Poaceae. The record is from RNAcentral.